AAGUUGCGAUGAUUGACAUGCUAAUAAUCCUCAUGAGAAGUAGUUCAUUCAUAUCUUGAACAUAGGUUACAACGGCGCCCUUAAGAUUAAUGACUAUAUAGUUUUGUUUUCUGAUUAAUAUUAGAGUCUCAACAUGUAAAUCCAACUGUAAAGAACAAGAUAUACGCUACUCUUUUUUAUUUUUAGUGAACAAAUAUUUCAGUUUGGUGGGAGGGUGGAGGUGGCGGGCGCUGCCACCACAAUGUUUAGUGAAGAAUGUUUGCGGCAUUCCUUAUCACAAUCUUCAGGCGUGCGAUAGCAAAAGUAUUUGGGAUCCGCAAAACAACACCAACAAUAGCCAUCAUUGCAUUUUGGAAUUAUUCUAGGUGGUCCACACAGUCCAUAUGGUAGACUGAUCUUCCUGUUAUCUAUGUCUUCGAUACUCCCACCUAGAAAAUAUAAAAAAAUUAAAGCAACAUAUAUAUUAUGGGUGCAACUAUAUAUAGAACUAUUCCAUAAAUGCUUAUUUAAUCAACAAACAAGAAAAAGAAAAUAUAAAACAACAACGAAGAAAUGGCAUUUUUUGCUAAUAGCAUAGCCAUUUUUCAAUAUACAUGAAAAAAUAUUAGACAGAACUCAUGAUAAAUACAAAACUAAACAAUGUAAGUAUACGGAAACGAAUUUUCAUCAUAUAUCAUGUUACUUACAUUGAACAUGAGCAACAAAGCAAACGAGAAGAAGUAUCGAGAGUGGCACUAGUAGGUGCACACGUUCCGUGUACUUCUCCAUGCACAUAGACUUGAAUUACUUUAAACAAUCAGUGCUUUUGGAGGCCCAAUAUGUGAGUGCUGAUCCAAGAAUUAGCUGGUGAUUGCUAGCCACAUCGUUCAUUCUUAUAUAUAGAGGGGUAACAAAAUAUUUGCCAGGAAUUUAUUUAAUGGAAGCAAUUAGUUAUCAUUUAUAAUUUCUAUGAAAGUUCGUGAUGAACAUUAAAUGUCAGGCUGCUAAUUUAGGGUCGCAUUGAUCGCCCAAAGUUUAAAAGACUCCCCAAGAGAUGCUCGGAAAUGCACAUUUAAUUUUUUACUUCCUCCGUUCCUAAAUAUAAGUCUUUUUAGAGAAUUCAAUGUGGACUACAUACGGUUAUAUAUAGACGUACUUUAGAGUGUAGAUUCACUCAUUUUGCUUCGUAUGCAGUCCAUAUAGGAAUCCCUAAAGAGACUUAUAUUUAAGAACGGAGGAAAUGAUGUAAUUGCACAUUUAAUAACCUAAUAGUGCCCCAUACAUAAACCAUAUCCAGGCAGGAGAUACACUUACGAACUACUUCAAAUGCAAAGGAAAUCCAAACUGUACAUCCAUAUAAUGGACAUUAAACAAUCGCAUAUCCAUGGCCAUGCUUACAAUACACUAAAGAAUUUAGUACCCACAUUGCUGCGCCCACCAUUUUCGCCCUAGAAUGUUAUGCAAAUAUAUGCACAUUUAAUAACCUAGAAUUGCUCCAUAAAUAGAACAUAUCCAUGGAGAAGAUUUUUCUCUCCGUCCAUUUUUUGCUUCGUACGUUACGCAAAUAUAUGGAUAUUUAAUAACCUAAUAUUGCUCCAUAAAAUAAACCAUAUCCAUGGAGAAGAUUGAUGAAUCCAUCCAUUUCGUUCUCUAAUGUUUGAGAUUGAUGCAAAUAAAUUGAUGCAAAUAAACGUGCACGUGCGUUACAACAGGAAAAACAAAUCCUUGCACACGAUCUCGUAAUUUGUGAACGUGCUGCUAUCGAUGAUAUAAUCGCCCUGACGUUUAGAUGUGCAUGCACUUGCUCUUUGUGCUUUAUUAUGGAUGAAUCGCCAGACUCAAGUCCUCCUCCCGAGUCGAGCGAGGCGGGCUUCUACAGUUCUACCUGGGGGCACGAGCUUUACGCAAAGUCCUUGACAGAAAAGUCAGUGGCUAGAAAAAUGUAUAUGUAGGGCAGAUGAUUUUUUUGAAAGGUCCAGCAUUGCUGGCAUUUAUUGAUUUAGUAGGAGAGCAAAUAAAACAUUGUUGAUGAAGUGAUCGAAUGAAGAAACAAGAGAAGGGAAAGAGAUAGAAUGAAAAUGCUUGUAGGCAGAGCAACUAGUCUAUAUCUCAAAGUGGAUCCCGAAGGGGCUCUCCAAUUUUUUUCCUCCUACAAGGCACUAUAGCUCAGGCGUUGAUCUUAUCGACUUUAUCACAUCCUCGUUUGAUGGUUGGUUCCCCAGAAGACACAGUUAUUACACUCCUGCCAUAUCUCUAAGGCAAUAAAGAUGAUCAUGGACUUGAUUCUUCUUCUUGCAUGGCGCGGUGCACUGCACUUGAUGAUGGAAGAGGUUGCCUUUGUUGUUGUGUUUUCAUUUGCCAAAAUUUUCCUGCGCGAGUGCACCACACCCAUUCCAGCUCGCGUCUGGUUCCAAAUGGCCACUCACGCACUACAACCCUAGAAGAGAUGGAAGGAGGACUCCAGGUUCCUGGUGCAUAGGUGGCAGAAGUAUCCAUUGACCCAACCGCGUCAUUGCAGACAGUUGUUGCACCACGGGCGGUUUUGGUGGAGGAGUCAUAGAAGAUCUUUUCCUUUCCCGGUGCCCAGGCCUUCUAGAGCAUGGAUCAGAGAUUGGUGUUCCUUGCUUGUGGGAAUUGCAGCAGGUAGGCUAAAGCAGUAGAGUACUCUCUUGGGGCUGUGGAAUUCCAUCUGAUAGUGCCAGACACCCCGUCCUCUAAGGUGAUCGUAGCUGCGCUAUUCAAACACGAAAGGUGGAUGAAAUCUUGGACAAUCAUCAUGGUGUUGUCGCGUCUUAGAUAUCCAAUCUAGGUUCCAUGCAACAUUGGAGUGGUGACAGUCAGGUUCUUCCGUCGCGAGUGAUCGAAGAGUGCGGGGAAGGCAGCACAGAGUGGGAGAACGCCGAUCCAGGAGGAGUGCCAGAUGGUUGCCGUAUUGCUUGCGUCGACCGUUACUGACGUGGCCAUGAAGAGGGAGCGGUCCGCAUCAUCGUAGGUGGAAGGUGUGCCAGCCCAGGGCCUUUGUCUGCAAUCUAGCACUACAGGAAUCAGGAACUUUGCCGUCUGCCAUGGCUGACGGCAAAGGCAUGACUGGCGGACGACAAAGGCUUUUGCCGUCAGCCAGUAGACGGCCCCACGUCCGGCUGAAUGAACUACGGCAAAAGGGUUGCUUUGUCGUUUGCUUUUAUAAAGCGGACGACAAAGAACUUUGUUGUCAGCCAUCCAGGGCAAGCAGACGGCAAAGGACAUGGACGACAGAGGUGUAGGGUUAGGUCCGUUAGGGGGUUAACAGCGUGCUUUGCCGUCUGCUGUAGACGACAAAGAUGCAAAUGUCUUUGCUGUCUGCCAGCAGACAACAAAGAUCCAAAUAGGCCAGCCCAGGUGCCCCCGGUAGCUACCCCAUGGCUUGCUAUGCCGUCCGCUGGCAGACGACAAAGAUGCAAAGGUCUUUGCCAUCCAAAUAGGCCAGCACAGUGCCCCCAGGUUGCACAGGUAGAUGCCACGUGGCAGUUUUGCCGUCUGCCAGCAGACGGCAAAGUGCCUGUAUUACUCCUGUUAAUUCUGUUUUUUCUNNNNNNNNNNNNNNNNNNNNNNNNNNNNNNNNNNNNNNNNNNNNNNNNNNNNNNNNNNNNNNNNNNNNNNNNNNNNNNNNNNNNNNNNNNNNNNNNNNNNNNNNNNNNNNNNNNNNNNNNNNNNNNNNNNNNNNNNNNNNNNNNNNNNNNNNNNNNNNNNNNNNNNNNNNNNNNNNNNNNNNNNNNNNNNNNNNNNNNNNNNNNNNNNNNNNNNNNNNNNNNNNNNNNNNNNNNNNNNNNNNNNNNNNNNNNNNNNNNNNNNNNNNNNNNNNNNNNNNNNNNNNNNNNNNNNNNNNNNNNNNNNNNNNNNACAUAUACAUACCAAACCAAAAGUCCAUAUCCAACAUAUACAUAGCCAACAUAUCCAACAAUUAAGCCAACAUAUCCAACAACAAGCAUACAAUGGUUUCAUCCAUCAAUACAUAUAUAGGUAGCAAGUUUCACAUUGUUCAUCCUACAAAAUAAAAACAAAAAGUAAGGACAAGGAGAAGAGUAGACUCCAUCAACGCAAGCUUCCGUGGUAUUAGGCAAAUCUGCAAAUUGGGAAAGACAAAAGUUACACUACUAGAAAAAGGCCUACUAAUGGCGCACCGGUUUUGCCUACUAAUGGCGCACUAUCGGUGCGCCAUUACUAGCACGCCAUUAGUAUUUUUUACUAAUGGCGCACCACUGGUGCGCCAUUAGUAUCUGGUAUACUAAUGGCGCACCAUGUAGUGCGCCAUUAGUAUAGCCCACGGUGCGCCAUUAGUAUCUGGUAUACUAAUGGCGCACCACAUAGAAGUGCGCCAUUAGUAACAUUUUUUUCCAAAAUUUUUUUUAAAAUUUUUUUAGAUUUUUUUUUCAAUUUUUUCUUAAUCUCGGGUCAAUAUGCUUAAUCUCAAUUCACUACGGAUUAAUCUCGGGUCAAUAUGCUUAAUCUUGGGUCAAAUCGCACUCCAUGGUCAAACUUCCCAAAAGGUCACCCAUCCUCACACUACUCCAGCCCAAGCACGCUUAACUUCAUAGUUUUAUCCAACCCCAGCAACAGCUCACUUCACAGGCACUUGUUGAUAUAUCUAGCAUAUCAAUCCUAUUAUACCUUGUUGAUGUCUAGGAUUUUGUUCAUGUUCAUGAGUGUGAUGAAAUUUUAAAAAAUAUUUCAAACUUCCCGAUCAUAUUAGGUAUCAUUUUUUGAAAAAAAUUCAAAAAAAAAUUCAAAACCAAAUUUUUUUCUGUUACUAGUGGCGCACCACAUCCACGGUGCGCCACUAGUAAGUUUGAAAUUUUUUGAAUUUUUUUGCCGCUAGAUCUUGAAAGCCCCGUAACUUUUUUUCUGUUAGGUUUUUGGGGAUUUUGAAAAUGUUUAACGGGGUUUCCCCCGUUAAAUUUGGAUGUAACUUUUCGAGUAGAUGAUUUUUCAUAUAAAAAACUUUUUCAUGCGAGUUCGUAUGCAAAAGUUAUGCCCAUUUUACAAAUUUCCAGAGAGAUUUUGCAAAUAAAGUCGAAAUUCAUAUUUGUAAAUUUUUCCAAAAACUAGAGCACAUAUCACAUGGGAAACAUAUUAUCUUUUAUUUUUUUGACAUUUCCAUCAUUUUCUUUUAUUUUUUAUUAAACUGAAAAGGCGAUCCAGGGGGGGUGCAUUCGGUGUUGGGGCAAGUUAGUAGUGGCGCACCGUGGGGUGGUGCGCCAUUACUAGUUUAACUAGUAAUGGCGCACCACACCCACGGUGCGCCAUUACUAGUUUUGAAAAAAAAUAAAAAAAAUUGAUAUUUAUUUUGAUUUUUUUUUGAAAAAAACUUAGUAAUAGCGCACCAGUGGAAAGUGCGUCAUUACUAGUUAAAACUAGUAAUGGCGCACCGAGACAUGGUGCGCCAUUAGUAACAAUUUUUUUUAUUUUUUUUACUUUUUUUUCAAAACUACUAAUGGCGCACGACGGAUGUGGUGUGCCAUUAUUAUGUCAAUUAGUAAUGGCGCACUAUGCAACGGUGCGCCAUUAGUAACAAUUUUUUUUAUGUUUUUUUCAAAACUACUAAUGGCGCACCACACACCAGGUGCGCCAUUAGUAAUAUAUUACUAAUGGCGCACCGAGACAUGGUGCGCCAUUAGAAUAUAGUAAUGGCGCACCACAUCACAAGUGCGCCAUUAGUGGCCAUUCCAUCUAUAGCCUUUUUUGUAGUAGUGUUAGAAGAAGAAGAAGAAGAAAAAGAAGAUGCCUCUUCUUUGUCUUCUUCUUCUUCUAGCUAAGGUAACCUAGGUAAUUAUGCCAUUUUUUAGCUAACUAAGCAUAUUAAGUCGGUUUGAAGGAAAAAACUGCUAAGUGUAGGUCAUUUUAGAGCUAACCUAGGUAAAUAGGUUAUUUUGGAGCUAAGUAACGUUAUUAUGUCAUUUUCGAGGAAAAUAAGUUAAGAAUAUGUCAUUUUGGAGGUAACCAAGAUUAUUAUGCCAUUUUUUACCUAAGUAUGCUAAGUAUGUCAUAAAUGAACUAAAUAAGCUAAGUAUAGGUCAUUAUUGAGCUAACCUAGGUAGUUAUGCCAUUUUUUAGCCAACUAAGCAUAUUAAGUCAUUUUGGAGGAAAAAUGGUAAGUGUAGGUCAUUUUAGAGCUAUCCUAGGUAAAAUCGGCCAUUUUGGAGCUAGGUAAGGUUAUUAUGUCAUUUUGGAGGAAAAUAAACUAAGUAUAUGAAAAUUUGGAGCUACAAGGUAAUUAUGCCAUUUUUUUACCUAAGUAAGCUAAUUAUGUCAAUAUGUCAUAAAUAAACUAACUAAGCUAAGUUUAGGUCAUUAUUGAGCUAUCCUAGGUAGUUAUGCCAUUUUUAGCUAACUAAGCAUAUUAAGUCAUUUUCGAGGAAAAAAUGCUAAGUAUACGUCAUUUUAGAGCUAACCUAGGUAAAAUAGGUCACUUUGGAGCUAAGUAAGAUUAUUAUGUCAUUUUCGAGGAAAAUAAGCUAUAGGUCAUUUUGGAGCUAAAUAGGUCAUUUCUUAAGCUAAGUAUACAUUUAUUAAGCAAAACACUUGGGAAAACUUACCGUCAUCACGGAGGUGAAGGACCGGUCGCGGUCGAGCCAGUGGCAGACGGAGAAGGAUCGGUCGAUGCUUGUCGGGAGGCACGCUGCACCAAAGAUCAUUUGCAAUAUCUCGUUAGCAUGAUGCAACUCAAAUGUGAAUACUAGCAACUAAUGAACAUUCAAAUGAUACUCACCGUGGUCGCUGUAGCAAUCUGGGGCAUCGGCGGAGGGGUCUGACAGUUGGCCUGGCACACGGACUGCACAUUCGGUUUUCAAGAGUCAGUCAUAUUAGUUAGUAAUGAAACGAACAUUACGUGCAUGAUUUGGCCAAUAUGCAGGAGAAACUUACCACGAGAGCUCGUAUAUGGCCCGGUGAGGCGCGUCGUUCCGGUUCAUCUCCUCCUCCAACAGGCUAGCCGUCCUCUCCUCCAGGUCCCUCUCCCUCUCUGUCGCCUACAUGUUUGCCUCCGCCAGAAGCGCCUGGGUGUUCAAUCUCUUUUUCUCAAGAACAACCUGCAACACCACUCCUCGUUAGCAUUGUAAUCAUCGACGACCGCACACACAAUGUAAUGGAUGAAAGGUAUAUGAGUCCAUAUAACUAUCUGGAAGGCGAGCUCCAUUGGCCGUGGACGAGGCCUUAUCUCAGGAUCGGAGCUCGUUUGGCGCUUCUUGAUCUCCGAGCUGCCAUCAGACCAAACACAUUGAACCCAUCCGUGCUAAUGGUGACUCGAGGAUGCCUUGGACCUGCCGCUUUUUCCGCAUGUAGUGCAUCGAAGCGUUUCCACGCUUCACCAUCCGAUGUGUGCAUCAUCAUUAGAUUCCCAUAUGCAUCUAGUUGGGUUCUUUUGGCCAUUUUGUGCCAUGCCAUCUGUCUAGUCGUCUCUUCGACCAUGAAAAGACAUUAAAGUCUUGAUACGAUUGGCAUAUACCGAAGAACAUUAACGGGGAUUUUGGUCUGCGUCUUCUCACCCAUAUCGUUGUCUACCACAACAUACCUAGAUGACUUGCAAAUGGGACAAUAGUUCAAGUCCGCAUACUGAAGCCUAAAUAAGGCACAUCCUUUCUCACAAGCAUGUAUUUUCUCUGCCCAAGUUGAAUUGAGCCUUUAGAGCCAUUAUUUGUGAGAUGUCAUCCAGCUGACAAAGCUCGAUGUGCUCGUGUAGAGGACGUUUUGAAGACUCCAACAUUUCAUUGAAGGCCUUUGCAGAUUCCUCCAUCUCAUUGUCCGAGUCAUGAUCAUCAUCAAAGUUUUGCACCAUGUCUUCCAUCUCGGUACCAUGAUCAUCGGUGUGACGACGAACUACCUCGGCUCUGGCACGUUGGGCAAACUCACCAUGAAAUGUCCAGACCAUAUAACCAGGCAUACAACCAAACUUCUGCAUUUGUUUACUCAUUUCAACCUCGUUCCUCUUAUGAUAGUUGUCGCACCGGACACAGGAGCACCAUUUUUUUCUCUGGCCAUUUGCAAAUGCGGCUCUCACAAACUCCUUGGUUUUUGUUAACCAUUCACUGGUCAUGUCUUCCUGACUAGUGUGAUCUGUGUACAUCCACGCACGAUCACUCAUAUUACCUAGCUAUUGGACACACAAGAAAUAUAUACAUAAUUCAGCAAACUAUAUCCAUCAUUUAAUGGAGUUUGUCAGUUUUAUUAAGUCCAUGCAACCUAGACGCUAAUAGGUAAAGAUAGAUCCUAAUCCCACCCGAGUAUGUGUAGAUUGGAUUCGUUUUCCCAUGCUCUGCUCCAGAUCCGACGUAACAUUUCGGCAGCACCUUCCCGCCGUUCUUCUGAUACACGUCUCGACAAUAAGCAGAGAGGAUGUGUACCUGGAGAACAACAGGGAGGCACUGGCGAAAUUCUGCAUUGGAUCCAGAGCAGAGCAUAUGGGAAAACGAACUCAAUCUACACAUACUCGGGCUGUCCAUGGAUAAUGUUGGACAAUUAGAAAGAAUCACGGUUAUAAAUAUGCAAAUUCUUGCAUAUUUAUACAUGUAACCCUUUCGAACGGGAGACGCAUAGUGGUCACGCAUACUGAUGAUUGAAGACACCUAUAGCUAGCAAGUUUCAUCAGCACGAAGACUAGAAUAGAGCAAAUGAAGGGGAGGAGGAGAUGUCAUUUGUUCUCACCCACGAACGCAGGGGCGGAGUUCGUCGAACGCAUGGGGAGGCCAUGAACACCAGACCCUCGCAGCGACGAAACAAUUGCACAUUUAAAACCACCCGAUCAACAGAAAUAUGAUGUUUUUUAUAACAAAAUCGAAAAAUAUAUAACCUAACUAAUAAUUCACAAAUAUAUGACCCCGUUGGCCUCCGGAAGGCCAAACAGCACCUUUUCGGGAGGUGUCGGGGGUCGGGAUGUUGGGGUGUUGUGUCAGGGUCGGGGUGCUAUGCCGGGGUUGGGGUGCUGUGUCGGGGUCGGGGUAUCGGGUCGGGGUCGGGGUGCCGUGUCCGGGUCAAGGUGUCGGGGUCAGGGGAUCGGGGUCUGGGUCGGGAUGGCAAAUCCUCGACCCCUCGGGCCCUCGACCAUAGACCCCUUUUCCCCUCGACCCUCAACCCCUCGACACCUCGAUCCUUGAACCCUUGACCCUCGACUCCUUUUCCCCCGAUCCAGGACCCUGUCCACCCUCAGCGACAGUCGACUAUCGACCCCUUGGCCACCCUCGACCCCUUAGCGACCCUCGACCCUCGGCGACCCUCGACCCUUGGCGACCCUCUUUUUCUACUUUUCCUACUUCUUUUUUCAUCAUCUUCUUCUACUUCUUUUUUUCAUCAUCAUCAUCAUCUUCUUCUUCUUUGUCUUCUUCUUCUUCUUCUUCUUCUACUACUACUACUACUACUACUACUACUACUACUACUACUUAUUUUUCUUUUUUUUUUCAAUUUUCUUCUUCUUCUGCCUUUUUUUCCUUUUUCCUCUUCUUCUACUUCUUCUUCUUUUUUUCAACUUUCUUCUUCUUCUAAUUAUCUAAACCUAAACCUAGCACUAACCUAAACCUAUCAAUAACCUAAACCUAAACAGCAAAGAAUAGUAAAAAACAAAAAAAAUCUCACAUUGGCUCCAGCGGUGGUGGAGGAGGGCCGAUGGAGGAUGGUCAUAGGGAGGGUGGAGGAUGGUCGUAGGGAGGACGGCCGCGGUAAGGGUGGCGGCAGCGCGGCCUGGUUCCGGUGGCGGGGCGGGNNNNNNNNNNNNNNNNNNNNNNNNNNNNNNNNNNNNNNNNNNNNNNNNNNNNNNNNNNNNNNNNNNNNNNNNNNNNNNNNNNNNNNNNNNNNNNNNNNNNNNNNNNNNNNNNNNNNNNNNNNNNNNNNNNNNNNNNNNNNNNNNNNNNNNNNNNNNNNNNNNNNNNNNNNNNNNNNNNNNNNNNNNNNNNNNNNNNNNNNNNNNNNNNNNNNNNNNNNNNNNNNNNNNNNNNNNNNNNNNNNNNNNNNNNNNNNNNNNNNNNNNNCGGCGGCGAGCCUGGCUCCGUGGGGCGGGGAUGGGUGUCAUCGGGAACGGGGCGCGGGGAUGGCCGGGGCAGCGCGCUGCGGGUGAGGUGGGGGGAGACAAAGAGGGGGUGAGGCGGCGAGGCGACGGGGCGGCGGUAGGCGUGGUUGGGGUGGUGGCGGUCGUCGGUUAGGAAAGAGGGAGAGAAAGAGAGAGAGGGUGACGGCGGGCGCGGCCGUUAGUUAAAUUGAAGCUUUGCCGUCUACCCCCUCUUUGCCGUCUGCUAGCAGACGGCAAAGAGGGGGUCGUUAGGGUUACCGGCCAGUGGGCGAACCUCCCUCUUUGUCGUCUGCUAGCAGACACAAAGCUUCUUUGCCGUUUGCUAGCAGACGACAAAGAGGUGGUUGAUGGGAAAUAUGUUAUUUGCCACCAGCCAACUCUUUGUUGUCUGUUUUUCGGAAGCUGAUGGCAAAGCCACCCUUUGCCUUCAGCUAGCAGACCACAAAGAAGUGGUUGAUGGCAAAUCUUUUGAUUCCAGUAGUGUAAAUGUCCCUGUGUCAUCUCCUCGAAAAUUAGGAGGACAUCUCCUCAUGGCUAAAAGUUUCUUCUUUUAAUGGAUACUAGGGAAAAGAGCCUGUGUGUUGCAAAGGGAGAAAAAUAACACACAUUUUUUAUUAACCUAUGUGUUGUCGCUUAUCGUCCCCAUCCCCGGUGGCGGUGGUCUCAGUGCUCACACAAACAUAACGCAUUUGAGUGUGGUCAAUCCUAAGGCGUCUCUCUCUCUCUCUCUCUCUCUCUCAUGCGCGCGCUCGGUCGGUCAGAAUAAGAUGAGAUUUUUUUUCUCAUGCGAUGUUUUUCAUAGGUGUGCAUGCGUGGUUAUUGAUAUUUUCUUUUGUGUCAAUCUGGUUCUAGUGCCUGUUUAUUUGCAAUCUUGAUCGCCACGAGUGCAAAAGAAAAACAGACCGCGUGCUAUAGAUUAAGUUGCACCUAAAAUAAUAUAUUCAGAUUCUACACAUUUUUCUCAUCAAAUUUUAUAUAUAGCAUGUUAAAAUAGGACUUACGGUCUAAAAGAUAUGGAUUAUUUGGAAAAGCAUUCGUUUUAGAUUGAUCACAGAUUGAUUAACCAUAGAUUAAUUUUGCACACAAUUUUUUUUAAAAAUACUAACAUGUAAAACAAUAUCUUAUUCAGAUUCUACAAAUUUUUCUAAUCAAAUUUCAUAUGUAACAUGUUAAAAUCAGGGCAACGGUUUAAAAUAUAUGGAUAAUUUGGAAAAGCAUUCGUUUUUGGUAGACUGCCAAUUGAUUAACCAAAAAUGUCGGGGUUUUCUAUUAAAACAUGAAAAACGAUUCGUUUGACUUAUAUAUUGAUGGUGGGUUAAUUACCUCAAAAGUCAGGAGGUUUUCAGAAAAAACAACAAAAGGGGGUUAAUUCGCGUAAAAUUUAGGGUGUUUUUUUGUAAAUGAGAUGACGGAAGGGCAUAGGCGAUAGCCCCUUUAUUAGGGAAAAUAUACAGGAGCUCCUGCAUGCUCCACACCCCUAAACGAAUAUUAAACCAGAAAAUACCAAAAAAGUAAAAAACCUAAACAUUGGGAAUAUCAAACCUGGGUUCUCAAUCUACUCCCGCAUGAAGUUUCGUGGAAAAAUACCAGUAAAUGUAUCUGUGGCGAAGAAAAUAGUGUUGAAAAAAAUCCUUACAAACAGUUUUUUCUAUACAUAGGAAAAUUUUGGCUUUUUUUCACGAAUAUGUUUCCUGGUAAAUUUUCACGAAAUUUCACAAAGGAGUAGAACGGAAACCCAGGUUUGAUAUCCCAAAAUCCCCGGGGGGUUUUUUUUCAAAUUCUCGGUAUUUUUUUUUGGAUUUUGAUGUUCAUAUAGGGGUGUGGAGCACCCGGGUGCUACAAAUCCGCUUCCCUUUAUUAGUAGGUAUAGAUACUACUAUUUGAACUACAAAAAGUCUUACAUCAUUGAAAAUAUUCAAGAUGAAACAAAGUGAUGUCACUUUCUCUGAUUUUUUUAAUAAAUAUUAGUAUUUAUAGAAAAAAGCAAUGUAACCCUCAGUUAGAAAUUUCAGAAGUACUACGGGCAUCGACAAGAAAUUGGUGGUUAUCGUUGCUACCGGCAUGGACAACGGUCGCUCGUAGUCGGAAUAAAAUCUUUGACGCUCGCGACAAUUAGCUCCUAAAAUAUAUCAUAGUCCAUCAUCAGUCUAUCUCUCCUCCUGGUCCCGACUUGUUGACAUUUCCGAUCUCUUCCUGGAUAGCAAACCAGCAAAUCAGCGUGAUAUGUGUGAAGCCUAAAAAAUCUGCAUAAAGAGCUUAGAAGCCGGGAACAUAUGGGCUGGCUUGGUUUGCACAUAUGUAGGAUGAAGUGAACGUAAAAUAAUAUCAUCGAAGCGGAAAAAACCAAGAAUAUAACCUCUCUUUAUUACUAGAUAUAGAUUUCUACGAAGUAAUGUGCAUAUAUCAGUUAAUAUAACCUCUCUUUAUUACUAGAUAUAGCCGGGUUCUUGUUCUGCAAGCACACAUAUAAGCCGGGUUCCGGAUUCUGGUUUUUGGAUUCCGUCUAAGAAUUAUAUGUCAUUACUGGGACUGUUCUGCGAAUGGUGCCAAUCCCCCAUGUUGUCUAAAUACCAGUCGAUUGAUUUUGAUUGCAGUCUAAGUCAAAAAUUUCCUCCAGUGAUGCUAUGCCACGUGUCAUUAAUCUGUUUUGAGUUUUGUUUCUAAAAUGUGGACUGAUUUGUUCCCUCAUCUCGGCCAAAUUGCGUUAUUGGCCUCCCUAGCUAACGGCCUGGUUUGUGUUUCGAGGGGAAUAUUUCAGAUCCGAUUACGGCUGCUCCCUGGUCCAUUUGGUACUAGCGCCCGCCACUCCCUACUUUGUUUGGGCAGUGUCGGCUACUGCCCCAGGAGCCUGAAAUAAACAUUAGACACUGCAUACUGAACACGUAUAGACCACCUGGGUAAAAUUCUGUGGAGGAAAAAUGGCCACUGCCACUAAAUAGGCACUAUCAAGUAAAAAAAAAGAAGGAUUGCUCUAACUAGAGGAACCAUUUCCAUGCAAUUCUCCACAGAAACCUUGAUAGGACCACAGUUACAUUUUUUUGUUUUGGAAAAGGAGGUUAAGACCCCCGGCCUCUGCUUCAAUCGAUGCAUACAACCAUCUAUAUUUGUUAUUCGAAAAAGGUUUAAAAGAAGUAAAGAACAUACAUCAAGCCAUCCGAAGCCACCACACCUACAUGGCAAACAAGAACUGAAACUAUGAAACCAUACACUGUUUAGUUCUGCAGUAAAAAAAUGUGCAUGGCUGAAAUAAAUCUAGGAAAUUACAUGACACAAAGGGACUGCUACUGAAUGAAUACUAAGAGAAUCUCCAGCCGCGCCCCCAAGAGCCCCCAGGGCUACUUUUGGUGUCCGACAACGUAAAAAGGGCAAAAAAACGGCCAGUCGUGCCCCCCAAGCGCCCCCAAGACCUCAAAAUAGCGCCGGCAAACCCAGGCGAAACCCAGCGCGCUGGGGGGCUGUUGGGGGCGCCGGCGAAAGCAACAACCAAUCAUAUUCCCCCACGCGUCCUUUUUCUUGGCCCACCCAAUAACUUUUUGCCUGAUGAUUGUCUUGGAGGCAGCAACGGCUGGGAAGACGUACUCGCGUUUCAUCCGGUGAAAACGUUUUGCCCCCCAAGACGUGCUAUUUUUGGCCCGGCGAUUUUCCUGGGGGCCUUCAACGGCUGGAGAUGCUUUAAGCCAUUGGAAACAGAAGGAGAACAAAAACUGACACUGUCUAAUCAAACAAACACUUACUUCCUCUGUUCCAUAAUGUAAGACAUUUUUUGCCAUUACCUUGUGAAAGCGAGGGAGUACAAGAUAAAAAGAGGACUAAAAAAACUGUUCCUCUGGUGUUGUGGUGUGGUCAAUCCACGCACAGCAAGGACUGCACUACUAUCUGCUUGAAAGAAGACCUCCCGCUUGACGACGUAUUGUUACCUAGUAGACUUGAAACAGGCUUUCGUCACCUAGGAAAAGAGUAACAGUCGUUGAGUUAAAAGCUGCAAAUUUUUGGUGCAAGUAUAACUGAACAAAAGCUGAUAAUGAAAUAAGGAGUUAAAACGUUAACAAUGAAAAUAUGGACUUAGAACAUUAACUGAGAGUCAAAAUAAGGACUUAGAAACUAAGGAAUUUACAAACUCAAUACAGCAAAAUGAAAAGUACACCCUCUGUUUUUAAAUAUAAGACGUUUUGGAAAUUUAAAUUAAACUGCCAAAACGUCUUACAUUUGUGAAUGGAAGUACUCCUAGUAAUUAAUUUUGAAAACCUCAGUGUACCUCUAACUCCAUAAAAGUACUAAACCAAGAAAUGGUAAUACCCAAAAUGAUGAAUAAACAAAAAAUAGUAAUAUUGAAGUUAACUGAAUCCCAAGAUUGAAAAGAAACUAAAAUGAAGAAAACGAUGAUACCAUAAGCCCAUGAAAAAUUAAGUUCUCUUGCAUUAUGUAAUUGAUAUAUUUGCGAUAUUAAUAUAUUCCCUUUGUCAAAAAACACAAAUGCAAAAAAACAUGAAAAAACAUUCAGGGUUUUGAACUACACAUAUUUUAGUUCUCUUGCAUUAUAUAUACGAAAUGUGAAGCAAAAAAAUCGAUAUGGGUGUUUUUACAGAAGUAUGCGGAAAAAAAAACCUGCUAAAACAUGGAGAUCUUUCUUGUUUAGUCUGAGUGGCAAAAUAUACACAUGCAUCCACUACCACGGGGCAAGAAAAAACCCAAUGAUCGUCUAGAUUGAUUACUAGAACUAAGAUUGACUAAACAUAGCAGAUCAAUAGCAGAAUGUUGAAGGGAAUUAUCCUGAAGAAACAGAUGAUACUCCAGAUUGACGAGAACUAUAAAUAGCUGAGACAAUCAGUGGCUGAGCUACAUGCAAUCUUAAGGGGCCGCUAUGAGUAGGUAAUUACGCUUGGACAUCGAAUUAGUCGUCUUUACGCUUUCACAUUUGCAAUAACAAGCAUCGACUAUGUCGUCUUCCACUUUGCUUUCAAAUUAGCAAAAAGAAAAACCUUGCUCAAGAAACAAAAUAAAAGAAGUAUCACCAAGCAAACAUCCGCAAAGUUUAACACCCCAUGCUAGUUCCUCCAAUUUAUUCUUCAUAAGGAUCUCACUACAGAAGAAAAGAAACUUUAUUUCCUUAUAGGUUGAAUGUUUGCAGUUGAUGCACCGCCCCACCCCACGAUACAAACAAGAAGUUACAUAGACAUGGAUACUGAAAAUCGAAAGGAAACAUCCUCCUACACUAGUAGAAAUCAGCCCAUUAAUCCCGGUUCUAGAGGCCCUUUAGCCCCGGUUCUGGAACCGGGACUAAAGGGUCGGGACUAAAUGCCAAAACCUUUAGUCCUGAUUCGCUUACGAACCGGGACAGAAGGGGCUCCACGUGGCCGCUGCGGGGCGCCCACGCAGGAGGCCCUUUAAUCCCGGUUGAUAACACCAAGUGGGACCAAAAGGCUGCCACGCGUGAGUAGCUCGCAGGCGCUGGGGUUUUUGNNNNNNNNNNNNNNNNNNNNNNNNNNNNNNNNNNNNNNNNNNNNNNNNNNNNNNNNNNNNNNNNNNNNNNNNNNNNNNNNNNNNNNNNNNNNNNNNNNNNNNNNNNNNNNNNNNNNNNNNNNNNNNNNNNNNNNNNNNNNNNNNNNNNNNNNNNNNNNNNNNNNNNNNNNNNNNNNNNNNNNNNNNNNNNNNNNNNNNNNNNGUUUUGGAGGGUUAAUUUAGGGGUUUCAUAUUGUGUUAGCUAGCUAAUAGAGAGAAGUGACCUCUCUUUCUCCGGGCUUGGUUUACGCUAGCUACUAUACAUAUAGAGAGAACUCGACACGCUAGCUAGUAAGCAAAUGAAGAAACCAUUAAUUACACAAGAUCGUCAUGAACAUAUACAGAGAGAAAGUGACCUCUCUUUCUCCGAGAGAUUGGUUGAACAACAAGUUUUCGUAUAUCGAUCCGACGCUACUACAUAUAUACAAUAUAACAUCUUUUACAAUCCCUAACAUCUAUAAUCAAUUUCCACAUGGUAUUCUCUCUUCUUAUUUAUGAUAUGGUCAAGAAAGAAUCCCGCCAAUUCCUCUUAAAUUGCUAGAAUGACAUCAUGUGGUAGGAGUUCAUCCCGCGUCUGCCACAUCUAACUUAAAGAAGGGGGUCAAUACAUAUAUAUGAAUGAAACUCAACAAAAGAUAUGGUAAUAAAAUAAAAUUGUGAAUAUUAUUGUUUGCGUACUUCAUAUUGUUUUGCAGAGUAGCCCUGCUGAGAGGUUGCGUUGUAGAUGAACUCGCAAAUGUAGUAUUCACAUAGAUUAUUCCCGCCUUCCUGCCACAAGACCUUUACGAGAAAUAGAGUUCAAUCAAACUGAUAAUCAAGCAUGAUAAAUGGUAUUGAUGAAACUAGAGUAAAUGGGAGAUGCGUGGAACUAGCUCGUACUACUUACUUUCGGGUGUGUAAGUCGCAGCUCCCUCGGCAGUCCCAAAACUAUUCCGAUGAACUCUUUCCAAACCCUGUCAGACAAAGAAAAUAAUUACUUGAUAUAAGGAAAUGAACAAAGUUGCCGAUAUGGUGCAAUAAUGGUCGAUUGAACUUACUUCUGGAGCAUUGCAGUUGUGCCCGCAUAGUCCUGGGGAUCUUCUCGUCUCGAGUCUAAGAGAAUUACUACUCCCCGGUCAAGCUUAAUCUCUAGCAGAAUAAAGUGAAAGUUGCGCACGUAUGCAUAACUCAUCAGUUACAUUACUAUAAUUAACCUCGAGUAAGCGAAACCGGAUAUGCACAAAACAGUAACACUCACUUGAAGUUGUAAGGAAAGAGUAUUUUUCCCUUUGUUUUGGUUUCAAAGCAAGGAUUGUAGCAAGUUGUCUUCGGUAUCUGUGUUUCCAUUUUUAACGGACCAAUCAUUUAUGGUAUUUGGGUUAAUGAACCCAAUGUCAUAGAUUUGUUUUUUACAUUCGACCAUCUUCAAUCUGCAUAAUAUAGUGAUGAUAAUUAUAUAUAUAUGCAAUGAAAGAGUUGAGCUAUAGAGACUUAAUUACAGAAGUAAUACUUACAGACAGUAGCAAGUCAUGAGUUGUUUGUCGAGGGCAUCUUGAUUGUAUAAUUGGAAUAACUCCACAAAUAGAACAGGCAACACCUCAGUUCUAACGAGGUCGUGCUCCUCUUUAAUUCCCAGCAUCAAAGUAUCCUUCCCAGACUUGCUGCAGGUAUCCAUGUACCAUUCAUGCAAUCGUCACAUCAUCGUUGUUAGAGGAGGAGGAUCAGGUUUGACGAGAGGCUUCCCGUACUGGAAUCUAAAGAUGUCCACCUCCAUUAUUUCAAACUCUACAUCAUCGCUCAAGUAAUCAGCAGGAUUGGUACCGGGCACUAGCCACGGAUGAUUAGUGACAAUAUCACUAGACACCCUAAGCGGGGGGCACGAUUGCUUCGCUUGUUCGCCGAGCUGGGGAAAUGUUUUCCCACUUCUUCGUUGUGCUAAUCUUGCAUCACUGGAAGUACUUCUCGACCGCUGCGCUUCCUUAUAUGUCCUUUCAAAAAUGCCCUCAUGGUUGGAUUGCGGCGGAGGCGGUGGUGGUCACUUAAGGGUAUCCAGAGUGCGCUUCACUUUCACCGGAUCUAACGUUUCCUUUGGAGGUGGAGGUUUCCAUGCCAAAAAGUCCCUCACUUCGGCAGCACAGAUGUUUGCAUUUUCCUUGUCGGCCCUCUCAUAUGGUAACUUUUCUGGAGCCUUGAGACAUGGACCAAAUUUGAUUGCUUCCCACCUCUGCUUGUACUGCUAGCCACCGGAGCGGCGGCGUCUCUCUACUGCCAUUGCUGACGCGACGGAGUCCGCUGACACACCAGAGGAGGCGGAGUGCUCCGACGUGCCGGAGGAGGCGGAGUGCCGUCACGCGCCAGAGGAGGUGGAGGAGGAGGCGGAGUGCCCUGAUCACUCGUCGGAGGAGGAGACGGAGUGCCCUGAUCACACACCAUAGGAGGAGGCGGAGUGCCCUGACUCGCCGGAGGAGGAGGAGGAGGCAUCUAGGUUGGAAGCUUGAUGUACUCCUUCCUUCAUAGACAGGUACUCCUUAAAGCAUUUCGUCAUUAGCUCGCAAAUUUCAGCCUCCGUGAUACUAUCCACGGGGUAGCGAGGAGCCCUGAAAUUAGGCUGAACGAGCUCCGUGGAAGCCACGCUGCUUCUCCGCUGGUGGGGUAGCUUCUGAGGCAACGUCGAAGCAAGGAUCUUCGUGCCAUGAGAUGGUUGGCUGGUAGCUCGCUGGCUCUCAAGUUCCUCUAGCGUUGCUAUUCUUGCAUUGAGCUUCUGAAUUUCGCUCGCUUUUGCUUUCCUCUUUCUCUCUCGGGUUCUAUAACCACAGCUGCCAGGAAACCCAUGCACCCAUGAAACGGAGCUUGGUGUGCCUCGUGUUCGUCCAGGGUGCUCAGGAUUACUGAGGGCCUCUGUCAGCUCGUCCUUCUCUCUGUCGGGAAUGAGCGUCCCUUUCAGCGCUGCCUGAUAUAUUUCUGAAGCUUCUUUAUGGGUAUUGCAAGUUGCUCGUCCGUCCAAACACACUCCCCUGUUUCUGGGUCCAAAGUUCCCCCAAUCCCGGAGAACCAAGUCCUUGCAUGGUCUGGCCAGUUAAAUGUCGCUGGUUGGACCCCUUUAACAAGCAGGUCUUGCUCAGCUUUGUCCCACAAUGGCCGAGGCGAGAGGAGGAAGGGAGGAGGGAGGAGGGAGGAGGUAUGGAAAAUCAAAGGAAACAUCCUCCUAUGUCAUCUUCCCAACUUUUCUAAAAAUUUACACCACAUAACUUCCUAAAAAAUACUUGUAACCAAGCAAUUGUCGAUGGGUUGGACACCCCCCAUGCUAUAACCGAGGAAUUCUUUUAUGGUACAUCUACAGAUCUACUUCUGGGAUUGUGUAGUAUUGAAUCAUCUCAGCAUUUGAUUAGCGGGUUAGUUUUGUCAAAAGAAUAAAUCCUAACCGCGGUGACAAUCCUCGUCGGGUCUCGUUGUUGCCGUUGCCGGUCCUCCCAUGCCCUUGUAGUGGGAGCCCCAAGUCUCCAACCGUGCAUCGAUGCAACCAGCAAGCCACGGUGCCGUCGCCGCUGCAACUCCAUCUGAGGUGCUCCUGCUGCGUCCAGCGGCCGCACGCGUGUCUCGACAUUGGUGCGGUGGUCCUUCCUGAACUGUGUGGAAAACAAUCGGCUGAUCAUUUAACUGCAUCCGGACAUGAGCAAUCAGUCUAUUGUACAUGGUGACAUCCGGACAUGAUAAAUCAGUCAAUCGUUUCUGUUGCAUCUCAUCUCUGCAGGAUCAGUCCCUGCAGUUCCGUCAGAGCAGGAGAACAAAACACACGGAUUUCUCAAUGCUUGUAGAGUUUUGGUAUCUAGAGCAUCUACAACCGGACCUCUCUGCCCGUUCCAAACGCCUGACACGCUGCCCGGUCAGUGUCCGGACAAAAAAAGUCAUCCAACCGGGCGCCCCAUAUCCAGUCCAAAUGCCGGACUGACCGGCCCCAUAUCUAGCCGAUAGGGUGGAUUUGGCGACGCCCCGACGCGUUCGGACACGUUCGUCAUGUCGGAUCUGACCCACUCUAGUCCACUUGACCCCACAGAAGUUGGACCCUAUCUGCACUCCGGACGAAACGUAGCCGCAUUCCACUCCACUCGUCUUCCUAUAGUACCAAGCUCCUCGCUCACAAUCUCCGGCGUUCUCGUCCAUGGAGGCCACAGGACCCGACUCCGAGAUGUCCGGAUCGAAGUCUGGGAGCUCAUACCAUGCAACCCCGAGGAGCAGAUGACAGUCCGCGCUGCUCUCCGGUGCUCCCGGGAGGAGUGCCCUCCCCCGAUCUUACUCGAUCCGCCGGGCAUCCAUUGCCCAAAUGGCGCUCUGCGCCUCCAUGAGUAACUGUGAAUCCAAAAUUUAGGCGUGAAAAGCCCUCCACACGAGGCUGGGCGCGUGACUUCAACCAGAGGCGGCUUCGACCCCUUGCAGCGGAGGCAGCUUCUUUAAUGCUCACGUUGGACGCAGCAAUGGCAGCCUACGACGCGGAGGCGGCAUCGUCAGUGUCGGAGGAAGCACUGCGUGCCCGCAUAGCCGAGAAGCAGCGACGGAGGGCGGUGAAGGAGAUGGCAAAAGAGCAAAACCGGUCAAUCCGUGCCAUGGCCGGACUAUUCCACAAGGAGGAGAAGGCUGAGGACGGCAACAGAUCAGAUAACUCCGGCAUUGAGCAGAUCCGCCUCAAUCUGUUCUUCGUCUUCGAUCACUACUGCCGCACGGAUUACGGAAAGGGCAAAGGCAAGGGUAAGGGUAGGCGUGGAUGAACUUCUCCCAUUGUGGCUGAAUUCAUAGUUAUUAAAGCAUGUGAAUUUUUUGUAGUUCGAUGACAUCUAUUUAGCUACGUUCGUACCUUCAUAAGAACAAUAUAGCUUAGAGGAUUCAAUUUGAUAUAUCCGAUUGUGGAUAAAUUUUUGUGUGUGUUGUACGGUCACUGUCCGUGGACCGGAGUUUGGUACUUCAUGUUGUAGAAGCUCUUAUUUUGCAUAUCUUCCAGUAUUACGUGUCAACAAAGGAUACACAUUUUUACUAGUAGUACUGAUGAAUCUAGUCCUUCUUUUAACGAAUACUUUCGAUCUAUUCGUCCUCAAUCAUGACAGUACAACGAACAUAAAAAAUAAUAAAAGUUACAUCCAGAUACGUAGACCACAUAGUGAUGAGUACUAGCACUGAAGCGAGUCGAACGCAUGCUGGCAUCGCGCCUCCCUCGCUGGAGCCGGACAAAACAUGUUGUAGUAGACACAGUUGGGACAUCGUCGUGCUAAGACCUCAUAGGACCAGUGUAGCAUAACAUCAACAGCUGUCGAUGGAGGGUAGUGUAGAUCGAAACGUUCCAACCUGAAGUCACAUGAAUUUACAUUGGAUGGCUGGAAAUGGACGCCUCAUAAGAAACUGUUCUACAAAGGGCAAGAUCGUGCUAUAGAUUUUAGAAAAGUUUAUUUUGUGCUAAACUUACCCAAAAGGUUAAAACAGUGAUUUUGGCGUCAAUUCAACCAAGUACGAAUGAUGUUCCAAUGCCAGUAUUUACUGGCCCCUGCAACGACAGUGAUGACAGGGUCAUGUCGGUGGUGCGAUGGCACGUAAUCAUCAGACAAUGCAAGCCUCGCUGCUUUGUCCUGUCAGAUUUGGCACCUCGGUUUUCACCGCAAGAUCAUUGGCAGAGCUUGAAGUCAAUUGUUGGGCAGGCCAAGAAAAUAACAUGUGGACUGGUAUUCUAAGGUCCACGAGUGCCUUGCCAUAGUUCCGCCCGGUGAGCAAGAUGUCAGUAAAAUCAUGGAUCUUGACUAGACAUGUGAACCCCUAAAAAAAAGACUAGGAAUGUGCUGUGAGUAUCUAUAUCUAUAUUUAUAACUUUUUUGUUGUAUUUAACAAGCGAACAUUUUCUUUUCUAUGUACACCCCAACAAACGAACAUAGACAAAUAAACACAACGUGAAAUUCUACAGCUAAGAUGGAUCUAAUUCACCGUAACGCAGUUUCAACAAGUCCUGCAUGGCCAUGGUAUAUGGGGUACUGAUUCCUUCGUUGACUUUACUAGGAUGUGAUGUGAUUACAUUCCUUCCUGUGAGUUAAACCUGAACGGCUUUCGUCAUAUGAUACACCAUAGUACUUUCAUGUUUUUUAGGAGGGUAGUUCUUUCCUGUGUUACGAAUAUGAUUACUGUGGUGUUGCUGUAUAUUUUUUAUAUGGUUAGUUCUUAAUUUUCUUCAUUAUUCAAAAUACUUGUAACAACUAAGAUUUCAUUAUUUUUAUUUACCAUCAAGCAGUAUAUACUGUUGUUGUUUGUUGUCCACCUUCAUCCUUUGCUGAUAUUUUACCUAGGCAACUUCGCAUGAAAUUAGGAAUUUAGGAUCACUUAAUAAGACUCUGGCAACUUUUUUGAAUUUUCUUGCUUUAUACAUGAACCUAUCAUCAAGAUUUGGAUCUCUUAUAUGGUACCUUUUCUGCUGUAGAUAUGUUGGUGUUGAUUUGCAGUAAGAGGAAAUGUAUUAUUGUUCUCAUCAAUUUCUUUCAUACCAUACGUAAUGCGUUACAACAUCAGUUUCAUUGGGUUGCAAACGGUGAUAAGCAUGCAACCAUUCUUACUUGAGGCUUCACUAGGAUCAAUUUUGAGUUCGUCCAGGUUCUGAAUAAUUAUUCUGUAUCCGGGCAGGCUACCAAUCUUCAUCAACGAGGAUGGGGUUGUGAUGGCGGAGGCGACGUUGCUGGAUGAUGCUGCGAGUAUAGUGGGUGGGUGUAAGUAAAUCCCUCUGUGCUAGCAUGCAGCGGGUCUGUGGACAGGGAAAGCCACACAAAGAAUGCAGUGUUCGCGGCGUCCGAGCGGGAAGGGGGACAGGCAGCUUGCCAUGAUUGAAAAACAUGACGACCGUGCAGAUAUAGGGUCAGUGAUGCUGACAGGGAAGAUGGACCUCAUGUGCCUGGGUGGGCGAAGAGUUAAAUGGUUUGAUUUUUUGUGCAUAUGCUUAUCGUCAGUGAGGAGUGGGUGAUUAAAUACAUUAACAAUAAACUGAAUGUGUGAAUCAAACACAGAGAUGGACUUGGUGAAAAAGCUAAGGGAAAAUAACAUAAAUGUCGAAAAAGUGUAUAGUAUCAUAUGAAGUUUAUUAGGGGAUAUGGAAAAGGUCUCAUUUACUAAGAGGUCGCUAUGUAAUCUCUGUGGGAAGCUAAACAAAAAAUCGAGCCGAAGAUGACGUGUGCAAGACAAUUGAGGUGUUUACAGAUAUGGCGGCCAAGGAUCCAGAGUUUGUUUUCAGAGUGCAGCCGGAUGCUGAGAGUGGGAGUAAGUACCUGUUGUGGGCUACCGGCAGUAGCAAGAACCAAUACAUUUAAGGAGAAAAUGGGCAAAGCCGAUCUCAAUGGAAUUUUCUGUGAAAAAUGGUGAUCACCCAGAGGAUCGAGAGUGCGAACAGCGUGUUCAAAUCUUAGGUGCCGCUGGACUGCCCGAUGCUGAUGUUUGUGAAGCAAUAGAUGCGUUUGCAGUUCCACAGGGAAGCAGACAAGACCUGCGACGAAAAGUGUAUGAAGACUCUCAGUGUUUCGAACUGUACAUAUUGUAAUAAGACUUCAGUUACUUUUGGUGCCGACAUGAACAACUGCAGGGGGUGUUGUAGUGUAGUUGCAGGGGCGACAAGUCCAUUGAACAACAUGCUAGCAAUAUAUACACUAGGGUGACAUUUGAGAAAUUCCGCAACCUCAUAUACAAGGCCCAGGCUAGUCACAUACACAGACAUGCACCUCCCUCCGAUUUUAUUUACUCCGCAUAUUAGUUUUCGUCAAAGUCAAACUUUAUAAACUUUGACAAAGUUUAUAGACAAAAAUAUUAACAUUUGCAAUAACAAAUCAAUACCAUUAGAUUCAUUAUUGAAUGCAUUUUCACAUCAUAUAUAUUUGUUAGUGUAAAUGUUCAUAAUUUUUUCUAUAAACUUGGUCAAACUUUAUAAAGUUUGAUUUCAGUCAAAUCUAAUGUGCAGACUAAAUAAAAACGGAGGGAAGCUGACCAUGGUUUGCUUGUGUCCAUUUUCCUGCAAACUAGGGAAGCAGACAAGUACACACACCAUGGUUCAUGACUAUACUUUUUCUAUACGUGUUUUCAAAGUUUGUCAGUAUUAUUAUGCAAAGACAACUUGUCAUGGUUCUGCAUUGUUGUAUUCUUUCAUUUGUCAAUUUCUUUUGCUUUGAAACAAUGUUGAUUGGCUGACAGAAUGGUUCUGCGUGGCUUACACGCUUAGACCUACUAGAAUAUUAAAUUCUAUUAGCAAAUACAUUGAGAACAAUGUUAACGUUUUACAUCUUGCUACAUGAAGCUGUGUACUGCAGGAACAGUGUUACAAUUUUCAGUGGACAUUGACAAUAAGAUUGAAGAUAUAUAUUUCUUGAUUGGAAAUAAUAUACCAUAAAUGUAAUUCAACUGUGGAUACAGUGACAACUUUAUGCCCAGAAUAAUAAGUGAUUAUGUGAGUUAUAAAUUUUAUGAGGUGUAGGAAUUGAGACCGGUGACAACAACAUGUGGAGCGGCGCAACAAGUGGUGCUUCGGGGGUACCGGACCCAGCGUAGUCGGACAAAUCCAAUGGUGUGCAUGUCCCGAUGUACAGCUCGUGAGUGGUCCAAUCACGGAAUGCGAUUGCCCAGCCAAUUCCUAGCAUCGCCCUAUUUGGAUAAGGGGCACGUCGGUUCAUGAAACAAUCAACAUGUCUUUAUGACUUGGGAAUAGGAAUUCUAUGCAGUUUGCAUCAAAUUUGAAAUUCUCAAGAGAGAUAUUUUAUGUUAUGAUAGAAUAAUUGUGUUUCAUACUAUAACAUGCUUUUAGUCGAGACGUGUGUUGCACGUGCAUGCUUACUACUCCCUCCGUUCCUAAAUACUUGUCUUUCUAGGCAUUUCAACAAGUGACUACAUACGGAACAAAAUGAGUGAAUCUACACUCUAAAAUAUGUCUACAUACAUCCGUAUGUAGUAGCCAUUUGAAAUGUCUAGAAAGACAAAUAUUUAGAAACGGAGGGAGUAGUAUGAUAAGCAAGCAAUAUGAUCUCAUCUUACUUAUCCUGCUACUACUAUUGUUUUGUUUGCUACCAAUCAAACUGAACAAGCUGACCAUGGUUUGCUUAUGUUCAUUUUCCUGCAUGUAGCCAGGAGUGGCGCAAGAUGCCACACUCUUCAGCGACAGAUAGCUUCUAUGAAAGGACACUCCACCACGGCUGAUUUGCCACUACUAGGGAAAAUCCUAGCAGUAGCGCGGGUUUUUGGCCUAUCAGUAGCGCAGGUAGUCGCGCUACUGAUACGGCGCUACACCUAAAGGUUGGCAGUAGCGUUUGUUGACAGGCGCUACUGCUAUAUCUACUUAGUAGUAGCGCGUGUUGCAACAGCCGCUACUGGUAAUUACUAGCAGCGCGUCUUACUGCCCACGCUACUACUAUUAUUCUGUAUUCUAUUUCUUUUUUAUUUUAUGUCGUAUUCAUACACCUUUAUAUAAGUUUUCAUACAAUAGCAAUUUACAUAUUAUUUUUACAUUAUAAUGAGUUAUUAAGUCACUAGGUGAAAGAACCGCGGAUUAGUUUCAUGUCAUGGAUUAUCAUGAUAAUCCACGACAUGAUCACUUAGGAUCCAUCCACUUGAAACUAAUCCGCGGUUCUUUCACCCAACGAUAUAAUAACUCAUCAUCAUCAUCAUCAUCAUCAAUAUUAAUAUAAAAACUCUUGCUUCAUAUCAUCACCAACAACACUAGCUAAUAAUCAUCAUAGUCAUUACCACCAACACUAUUUAAUCAUCAUAGUCAGUGUAAUAUCUAAUCACCACCAACACUAGCUAACAAUAAUCAUCAUAGUCAUCACCACCAACACUCAUUCUAGCUAGGUAAUCACUCAUGCUGCUCUCUCUCUGGUAAAAUAGCAUAGAACAUGUGUAGCACUCCUGAUUCAUCAUAUUAGAGCAUGCAGAUGAACCUUUCUCCUAAUUAUGGGUUGCGCUUCUGAUUGCUGCCCCCAAGUACUUCUCUGCGAUCCUUCACAACUUUUCUCCAGUCUUUGACUAUUAAGACUUGCUCGCUUUUAGAAAUCCUGAAUGCACUCAUGUGCAAUGUAGGAUGUCUUGACCGCAAGCUAACCAUGGACAUGCAACCUUUAGCCUCGAUCCAAUGAGGCACAACUAUCAUCAUGGGUCCCUGUUGAAGAACAUCGUAGUAACAUACUUAGCAAUGAAGUUUAGCUUAAAAAAUAAUGUAUGCAAAAGAUGCACUGAGGACAAAUAGUAAAAAUCUUACCAUCUUUCCUAAAUAGAUGUUACCAUAGUUCAGUAUGAACACUAUUGAUCGUACGUUUUGAGUACUAAGAUUUUCAAGUUCAGGAAAAUAAUUUGUCUUGACAGUAUGAAGAUCCUCAAGCCAUGAAACAUAAUGACUUAUCUCCUCGCAGUUUAGUUCAGCACUGAGACAGUAGUAGGUCAUGUCUACCAACCCUCGAGUAUGUUUGCUUGAAUGGAAAUAAGUUGUUAAUAGAAAUUAGUUGUCAACUAUUUUUGAAUAAACAGUGUCCAAGACAUAAAUAUGGUUGAGAAACUCACAUAAUGGUACAACUGGAGGCGUUUGUACAUCGACCCAGAUUUUGAUAUUACCUUUAAUAUCAUCUUCCGGAUGAAUAUCAAAGGUGAUAAGCAAAUCAGGCUCAAAUGCAUAAGCCUUGCAUAGUGCUCUCCAUUUUUGCAUUCAAAAUGGGUGUAGGUGUCUAAAUUAUAUAAUUUUGCGGCAAAAGUAUAACCAUGCUCGGUCAUCAAGUUAACUCUUUUUACCUCCAUAGUUUCCAUAGUACUUAAACCAACCUUAUCCAAGACAUACAUUUUUGCAUGGCAGGGGAUAUGCUGGUCGAAUAGUAAAAAAUUAAAAUUAUAAGUAGCAAAAGAAGCAGAAGUCAUGCUUAAUUACAAAAAAAGACUUGUCGUUGUGACUUACUGUAUCCACUUCGAAGGUGUCAUCCAGCUUGAUGCUGAAGCGCCUACCACCAACUAGGUGAGGCCUGUUGCAAAGACCACACUCGUCUUUGCAGUAUUCGCACAUAUUGAAUUACUUUUCAUCGUCAGACAUUUCCUAUGUUCAUAGUUGAAACAUUUUAAAAAUGGACCUAAGGCAACUACCAGGAAACUCAACACAUAGAUCAGUAUUACUCAAUAUGCAACGGGUUGACUUUAGGUCUGUCGAGUCUUCCUUCCUAAACUCUCAUCUCACGUGCACUCCCUCUCUGAUACUGUGACCGUCGGUGAUGGUCGCUACUCCUCCUUUCCCUGGUGCAUUAUAAAUAUCUAGCACAAGAAAAAGAAGGAGAAGCGACCCCCAUGACAACAGUCGGCAUUCUUCUUCUUUCAUAUAUGGUGGACACUCCCUCACCGAUUUUUCGACCGUCAAUGAUAGUCGCUAUUCCUUCUUGCCCUACUGCAUAACAAAGGUCUAGCACAAAGAGAAGAAGAAGAAGCGACCCCCACGACAACAGUCGACAUUCUUCUUCUCUCAUAUAUGAUGGAGACUCUCCCUCACCGAUUUUUUGACUGUCAUGUAUAGAGCCCCGACAGACUAAAAGUCAACUCGAAAUGUCGUUUAAUUCACUUUCUAGCAAAUCCGGGGCACUCGAUAUUUCCUACAUAUUCUAGCACAAGUCAUUCUUAAAUUGACGGAAAAAUUCGGCAUGACCUUUGCUAAAAUAGGACAUAUCGAGAUCCUGAAAUUUGCCGGAACGGAAAUGAAUCAACACUACGGAAAAACACAGGUCACUGGAAAUGAAUCAACACUUCGCACAUGAGCAUAAAUUGGUGCUCAUUGCAUUUCAAUGGUUCAAUAUUGAUAAAAACAUUUCAACAUAUCUUAUAAUCUGAACAUUUCAAUAUAUCUUAUAAUUCGAACAUUUCAAUAUAUCUUAUAAUCCAAGCAUUUCAUUUGGUUAAGAAGCAUAACUAAAUACCCUAGUUCAGACAUUUAGGUGGAGAAGGAGGAGGUGGACUUUUAGCUCACCGACUCGGGUGUAGAGGAAGUAGAGGUAGCUCAGAUGACGAUCACUCCAACGAGACACGGCUAAGCCUGCAUAUUCCACCGAGUAAAAUUUUGAUUAGAUCAUCAAAUCUCAUAUAGCAUUCUUUGAUGACAAAGUGAUAAUGACAUAAAUUCAACUAGUCCUAUUAAUUCAGCUAAUUCAACUAAGCACUUACUAGAAAUAAACUAGUUCUAUUAAUUUUCUUACUAAAAAUAGACUAGUUCUAUAGUAAAAUUUUCCAUGUUCAAGAAAGCGUUUUUAGGCGGCGCGCUUAAGCGUGCUUAAGCGCUAAGCGACAGCUAAACGCUUCCCUUCCGCCCUAGGCAGAAGUUUUAGCGUUAAGCCAAAAACAGGAUUUAGCGGCCGCUUUAGCGCUGAGCGCUGGCUAAGCAGUCACUGAGCAUGCUUAGGCAUUCAAAAAGCGAGGAAUGGGCCACGAGAUGGAGGUAAAAGGUGGGUAUAAAGGCCUGGCCCAAUACUUGCAUGUUCGGCUAGGGUUUACUAGGUUAGAAGGGGAAGGUGAGAAGAGAGCUCCAGUCCAGCUGCUCCUGUUCUGCAUCCAACUCAUCUACAUGCAUUCUUCCUCCUUGUCCCCGGACUGGAUCUGAACUACUGAUUGGGCUGGGCUGGGGCUGCUGUUUGGCUGCUGCUGCUUGCCUGUACCUGCCAUUUAUCUUAUAUGCUCUAAGACAAUAUUAUGCACUUAUGCUUGCUGUGUGAACCACUGAAUCUUGUCCUUAUGUGUUAUUUGGCUAUUUGUUGUGGUGUGUGAACCACUGAACCUCAACCUUAUAUGUUAUUUCAGAUUUUCAGUUACCUAUGUGCUAUAUUUCUGUUUUCUUGUGCAUAUUAUUCAAAAACUGCCAAAUUCUGGCCAAUUAAAAUUAAAAAAAACGCUCAUUGUCGUGGUUCUAAGUCUGACAGUAGAAUGGGGGUAGGUAUGGGGAGGCAAGAUCCUAGCUAUUGGAGCAGUUGUACACACAUGUGUUUUACGAGUUCAAGCCCUUCUCAGAAGAAGUAACAGCCCUACGUCCUGAAGCCCGGAGGCGAUCGACUGGAUUAUGUGUGUGAUAGUUACAGGGGUGCGAACCCUUCUACCAGUGGAGGGGGGUGGCUUAUAUAGAGGACGCCAAGGCCCCAGCCAACCCACGUAGCAGAGGGUUAAAGUACAUUAAGGUCCGGCGUUACUCGUAACGCCCUACAUAAAGUGCCAUCAUGACCAUUAAGACUACUUAAUUACAGACCGUUUGGAUACAGAGUAGAUCCUGAACUCCUGAUGGUCGAGUGAGUCUUCAUGGUCGAGAGUCUUCAGGUUCGUCGAGUGUCUUCUAGCCGGUCGAGUGGAAUCCCUCUUGGUCGACUGGAAGACGGCUUCUUCUAAGAGAUGCCCUUGGGGAGGGUACCUUGGACAGGUCCGUAACCCUACCCUAGGUACAUCACUUCAUCAGUAGCCCCCGAAUGGAUCGAGGUUUGAGUGAGGACGGAGUUGGCAAUCUUUCUGACCUGCUUUCUGGUACUGUAAAGGUGUUUUUGCUCUGGAUCAAUGACUUUCAAGUGAGGGUGUCAACUUUCGUUCAGUCGCCUUGAUCCAUUCUUUAUAUCUAUCGAGUGAACUUUAUGAACUUGGAGAUUUCCGAGCGACGGAUCGCAGGAGAUCUUCCGUCUGACAAGUUGCCCUGUGGUUAGCGGACUUAGUGGGAUCCGGAUUUUGGGGAAGCGCGCGAAGCGGCGAAAGCCGCGGUACUCGGAUGGGAUAAGGCAGGGACGCCUCGAUUCCCGCGCCGCCUUUUUCGCCACGUAUCGCAUGCGCGACUGUUUCGGGAUUUGACAGGACUGCCUGGGCCUACCCGUCAGCCACUCGGAAGUGACCCCAUAUAAGGAACCAGGCGGAGGUUUUCCGAACAGUGCCUCCUCGCCAUCUCUUUUCCUCCUCAUUUUCUCCUCCCUCGUCUCCAGAUUCAUCUGCUGCGCUUGUCAACUGCCCAGCACCGCUGCUCCGUUCUAGCUUCAUCAGCGACAAUGGUGAAGGAGAAGACGGCGGCUUUGGAGCGGGCGAAGAAGGCGACGGCGCGAGCGAAGGGGAGAGCGCCCAGUCGGGGUGGAUCUUCAUCGCGGUCUCUCCUGCCGCAGGGUUGGAUCCAAGGAGAUUGGAUCCGCUCGACCAUCACCCAGAAGGACCUCGAUGACCUAGCCAAUGAGGGGUUGAUCGAGCACGGAGCAACGAGGCUUCCGGGGGUGGAGUGUCAACUGCAACCUCAGGAGGGUGAGUGCGUCCUCUUGGCGACUCAUGUAGAUCGAGGGUUUUGUUUGCCACCGCAUCUUUUCUUCCAAGGAUUUCUGAAUUUCUUCGGAGCUCAGCUUCACCAUUUUACUCCAAAUUCCAUCACCUAUCUCUCCGCCUUUGUAUCUUUGUGUGAGAAUUUCUUGGGUUGCCGGCCGCACUGGGGCCUCUUCAAACAUAUAUUCACUUGUCGUUCCCAGACGGUGAAAAAGGCCAGCCCCAACGACCAGAGAACCCAGGUGAUCCAGAUGUGUGGGGGUCUCGGGGUCCAGAUGAGGAGCAAGAGCGCUUUCCCUGCUAUGACCCUUCCCGAGUCGGUUAGAGGGUGGCAGUCGACCUGGUUCUACUGCCAAGACCGGUCGACGCCAGGGCAGUCGACCGGGCUCCCUCCCUUCUCUAUGAGUUGAGUGAACAAGCCCUCCUGUCUGAAAGUAGUUCCGGAGGAGAAGGCUGAGGUGAAAAUGUUGAUGGAGCGAGUAGUUUAGUUGAUUCGUGACGGCGUGACCGGCAUGGACCUUCUGGAGGUUUUCCUUCGGCAGCGCAUCCAACCACUCCAGUACCGGGGCCACCCGAUGUGGCUGUAUUCUGGUACUGAAGACACCAGUCGGGUCCACCCAGAGGAGGUCGACCAUGCUACAUUGGAGAGGUGGAUGACUGCCAUCACGGGGAACAAGGACAACCCUCGUGGAGCUAGGAGGAUCGUUCCACUCGACCAAUCUUAUGAGGUGGACAAGGUACGACUAUUUUCCUCCGAUUGUUCCGUCCAUUCUGUUUCAUCAUAAAUCAGUCGAUUGACCUUUGUCUUGCUUGCUAUCUUUCAGGAAACCACUGAGUUGUACUCGAUGCCCAACGGGGCGCAGGCACAGGCCGAAGAGGAGGAAGGAAGCGGAAGCGAAAGUCAAGAGGAGUGGGAGUCGGACGCCGAUGAGGGUGAGGAAGACGCAGGUUUUGACGAAGAGGAAGAGGAGGAGGAAGAGGAGGAGGAAGUUGCGCCUUCUCGUUCCGAAAGGAGGUCCAAGCUCGCCCAUGACCCUGCGGCUGAUCGUGGCAAGGGAGUCGUGCCUGCUGGGCAGUUGACUAAACGUCCUCGGACAACUUCACCGGCGCCGACUGAAAAGGCGUCGAAGCAACCCCGAGCGGCCCCGUCAAAACCGGCGAAAGCCCUACCGAAGAUGAGGAUGGAGAUUCCGACUGUCUCUGGGUAAUGGUCCUAACUCACGUUUCCCAUUUUUUGUCGAUUCAAUCGCUGACCGACUGAUAUUUGCAAAUCGCAGUGCUGCUACUUCUGAGACUUCAGCCAGGCAUGAGGAUCAAGAAAUGGAAGAUGCUGCGACUUCUCUGCCUGGUAUGAUCUGCGCGGUUUCACUUCCGUUCGAUUGAAUCUUUAUUUUUGAUUUUGAACUUCUUCUGCAGCUCCGCCUAACAUUGUCAUCAAUCUUCCUGACGAUGACGAUGAAGCGCCGCUGAGGCAGAGGAAGAGCAGGAAGGCGACUGUUGGCAAGGCUGCGCAGGUUACGUCGGCACCUGGACCACAGAUUCUCGAGGGGAGCAAUGUUGCUCAGGCUACCGUGUCCUUUGCGGAGCCGUUGACGGUUGCCCGCCCUUCGUCAUUGAGUGCUGACCCGCCUUCUCUCUUCUCCACCUACCACGUCCCGGAGGAGCAAGCAAGCGCUGCCAAGGAAGCCAUACGUCAGGCCGGGAUUAUGAUGGAGAAGGUGAAGGCGAUCCGAACUGCCAGCCAAGCAGCUUAUGACGCGAGCUCAGCUCUCCAGAGCAAUGUCCAGGUUAGUUGAACACCGACUGGAAAUCUUGAUAUUUGUCAUGCACCCACUGGGUGUGUCAAUUCUACAGUGGACUGCUGGCAGUCGACUAUAGUCUUUGUGUCUUGAGAUUUCUCACUUUACUUGUUCCACUAGACCAUGGUCGAGUGGAACAAUGAAACUGGUGGGGGCAUGCUGAGUGCACCCACUGGGUGUAGUCCCAGAGACCGUGGUCGAUUGCUGGCAGUCGACUAUGCUCUGAUUUUUUUUUGAUAGUUAACUACUUCUGGUCGACUGAUCAACUCUGAGUCUAGCUGAUAGAACUAGUGGGGCACGCUGAGUGCACCCACUGGGUGUAGUCCCCGAGACUACAGUUGAAUGUUUAGAUUCAUCUGUAGUCUUAGAAAUAGUACGAUUUUUCCUUUAGUCACUCGGAAGUGAUCUGCUGUUGAUGUUUGUCGACUAAACUUUCGCAGAAAUCUUGUGACCUUGUUUCUCGCUAUACCGAAUUGGAGAACAAGUAUAUCCAGCUUGAGCUUGACCAAAAGCUUGUCCAAGAGAACUUCACGAAGGCGAAGGAGGAGGCAAAAGGUAUGUUCGGUGAGAAUCUUGACGACUGUCUUCGCUUCUUGCCUGUCUCCGAAUCUUAUCUUAUUGUGAUUUUCGCAGAAAAACUGAGGGAUGCUCUGAAGAAGAAGGACCUUGACCUUGCCGAGGCGCAGAAAACGGCUGCAGACAAGACUAGGCUUGCAGAAGAGAAGUUGGCUUCCGUCAACAAACUUGAAGAAGAAAACACUAAUCUAAAAGAUGCUCUUGACGUGGCCAACCAAGAAGUCACUCGACUGAGGAAUGCCAAUAUGGUCCUGGACGACAAAGCUGGUGAACUGGCAGAAAAGAAGAAUGACUUGGAGCUUUAUCUGGGAGGACUCGCCAAAAAGUUGUUCCUCAUGCUCGAAGGUAACCUCUUAUCUCCGAUUGGUAGUUACCGACUUGCUGUAGGGGCGUUAGCUUAUCCUUGAAUCAUGUCCACAGAAUUCUGCCAAAACUUUGAAGAGGAGACUAGUCGAGUGGAGACUGGCUUGGAUCCCAUCAAUUCUCCGGUGAAGGAUGAAACUGCUAUGAACGUGCUCCUCCUCGAGUCCCGCAUUGCUGCAGUGGUCGAUUACCUGCAAGACUGAAGGCCGCUAUAUCACGCAUCGACACAUCGCUCUGGCCAGAAGAAACGCUUCAGAACGACCUUGAGUCGCUGAUGACUCGACUGAACGAGAUUCCGGGUCGAGUGCAAGAGUGGAAGAAGUCUUCUGCCCAGUGCGGUGCUGACGUCGCUCUGUCCUUGGUCCGUGUCCACUGCAAAGAAGCGAGAGAAGACAAGCUGGUGUCUCUCAAGAUGGCCAAUACUAGGAAGCAUGACUUCCGUUCUUUCAUGGAGACCUUCAUCGCGGCCGCCACUCGGAUUGCAGAUGGGAUUGACCUGGACGAGUUCGUUGCGCCUUCCAGCCCUCCGCAAGAGGGGUAAAAACUGUUAUGCUUGACGAUUUGAAUUUGCCUCGGAAUGCCGAGUGAUUUUUGUAACCGCUAAACUUUAACAGGCUUGAUGCCUGAGCACUCCUAGGUCCGUAAGACGUUAUCCGAACUUGAUUUGCCGUUUGAAAUAUGUUUGCUUCUUUUGGGCAACCAUCUUCUUUGGGUUGGAGUAUAUACUAGCAUCUGUAAUGCUCUUUUGCAGGUAAGAGUGGAGCACAAAUUGUCGUCGACCUGUGCUCGUCAUGUUCGGGCAAGUGCUGAGUUGCAGCUAAGCCACCGAGUGGGAGGUUUGCUCUCCACUCGGUAGGUUUUUUGGAAACUUAGGCGAGCGCUGGGCUGCAGCUAAGCCCCCAAGUGGGAGGUUUGCUCUCCACUCGGUAGGUUUUUUAGAAACUCAGGCGAGCGCUGGGCUGCAACUAAGCCCCCGAGUGGGAGGCUUCCUCUCCACUCGGUAGGUUUUUUAGAAACUUAGGCGAGCGCUGGGCUGCAGCUAAGCCCCCGAGUGGGAGGUUUGCUCUCCACUCGGUAGGUUUUUUAGAAACUUAGGCGAGCACCGGGCUGCAGCUAAGCCCCCGAGUGGGAGGUUUGCUCUCCACUCGGUAGGUUUUUUAGAAACUUAGGCAAGCGCUGGGCUGCAGCUAAGCCCCCGAGUGGGAAGGUUUGCUCUCCACUCGGUAGGUUUUUUAGAAACUUAGGCGAGCGCUGGGCUGCAGCUAAGCCCCCGAGUGGGAGGUUUGCUCUCCACUCGGUAGGUUUUUUAGAAACUUAGGCGAGCGCUGGGCUUCAGCUAAGCCCCCGAAUGGGAGGUUUGCUCUCUGAUGGAGUUGUGUACCUAGGGUAGGAUCAUGGACCUGAUCCAAGUAACUUACCCUAGGACAUCCUUAGAAGAGGUCGCCUUCCAGUCGACCAACGAGGAUUCACUCGACUGGCCUGAAGGACUCGACCACGAAGACUCACUCGACCACCAGGAGGUCAAGAGGCACUCUGCACUGCAACGGCCUGUAAUCAAGUAGACUUUAUGAUAGUAAAGGCACUUUAUGUGGGGCGUUACCAGUAAAGCCCCAGACUUAACUCACCUUAAACCCUCUCCUGCGUGGGCUGGCUAGGGUCCUGGCGCACUCUAUAUAAGCCACCCUCCUCCACAGGCAGAAGGGUUCGGCACCUUGUAAUUCAUACAUUCAUAAUCCACUCGACCGCCUCCGGGCUCCGAGACGUAGGGCUGUUACUUCUUCCGAGAAGGGCCUGAACUCGUACAUCCUUUGUGCUUACAACCUCUCCAUAGCUAGGACCUUGCCUCUCCAUACCUACCCCCCACUCUACUGUCAGGCUUAGAACCACGACAGUUGGCGCCCACCGUGGGGCCGGUGUUUUAGCGAUUUUGUGGAGAAGUUGCGAUUCUUCCGAGUACUCUCAUCAUGGUGUCUGCUGGAGUUUUGGUCAAGGGUCAAGAGAUCCGUCUCGGCACUCUCACCUUCAUCGCCGACGACUCCGCGUGGCUCCAGGAGGCUCCACUCGACGUAGACGCGCUCCCCGUCCGCGGUGCGACGCAUUUUCGCGCAUGUGUCCGCGGCGUUCUGCUGCGGCAACCAUCGACCCAGUAUCGGUCGGCUCCUCCAUCGUCCACCCUCCCGGUCUCCCGCCAGCGCAAGCGCUCAGGCCCGUCGAGGCUUCAGCGAUGGGUGAGUCACGCGGUGGCUCGCCAAUCGGCCACUACACAAGUUGCGGCAAUCGAGCCCAACGAAUCUCUCUACGGCUUGUUCGAUCAGUCGACUGGCUCCGGAGAGACUGCAUCCGAGUGCGGAAGCAGUGAUCCAGCGGCGGAAAUCUUGAUGGUCGACGGGCCCCACAGCCCUCCUGGCUUCACCCGUGGUGGUGGAGCAGGUGACGGCGGCGACCUUGCACGAGACUACGAAGAGUACCAGCCCGAGCCACUCGACUCUCUGCAAAGAGAAGAGCUUCUCCGCAGGAACGAGGAUCCCCUGCGUAUUCCCAUCGCAGGAGAAACCCCCGAGGCUCGUGCCUUGGAGGAGGCGCGUCUGGCCAAUUUGGCCGAGCGCACUCGACUGGAGAACCUUCAGCGAGCACUCGACGAGCGCGCGCGGCAACGAGUUCCCGACACCAGUCGACGUCAACUCUUCCCGCCGACUCAGGUAUAUCGAACCCCAAUUCAGAAUUUAGCAGCUGCGACCCGUAUAGCAGAGUCCAUUCAGCCUUCGCAGUCGGAAGCUGGCAGAGGUUUGCUGUAGAUCAGGGAUCUGCUCCGGGCAGCAGGAGAUCAGAAUUCAGCCGUGUCUCAGUCGCGCAACAGAAUUCACAGUCGAUCUGUCACUGUGAAUACGGUUCAGUCGGCUCACAGCCCCAGAUCGCCUCCGCGGCGCGAAGGGCGUGAGAAUCGGCGAGAUCAAUAUGGCGACAGACUCGAGCGAGAUGAUAGGCGUCGAGUGCCCUAUUCCCCUCCGAGGGGUGGGUCUUACGCUCCUCGGCAGCCAGAUGAGAGGCGUCAGUACAGUACAGGGCGUAGGGUUCCAGUUGACCCCAGAGAGCCAGGUUUCGACGCGCGAUCCAUUAUCGUGCAAGGGUUGGUCGACCGGAACAGAGCCCAUCGAGGCGCACUCGACAGAGAUGUACCCACGAGCAGUAGAGUACAUGUUUCUGGUCCUGAAUGUUUCAGCAGAGCUAUCAGAGCCGCAGUUAUCCCCCCCAAUUUCAGGUUGGCAACAGGAGUCAGCAAGUUCACUGGUGAGUCUAAGCCUGAAACUUGGCUUGAAGACUACCGAGUGGCGGUUCAGAUCGGUGGUGGGAACGACGAGGUGGCCAUGAAGCAUUUGCCCCUCAUGUUGGAAGGUUCUGCCAGGGCAUGGUUGACUCAAUUACCUCCUAGCAGCAUUUACACUUGGGAAGAUCUGUCCCGAGUGUUCGUCAGAACGUUUGAAGGGACUUGCAAGCGACCAGCGGGAUUGACAGAGUUGCAAGUCUGCAUGCAGAAAACUAAUGAGACUCUCAGAGAGUAUAUUCAGAGGUGGAUCACUUUGCACCACACUGUGGAAAAUGUCUCUGAUCAUCAGGCAGUAUGCGCCUUCAAAGACGGCGUCAAGAACAGAGAACUGAGUUUGAAGUUUGGUCGAACCGGUGACAUGACCUUGAGUCGGAUGAUGGAGAUUGCUACCAAGUACGCCAACGGCGAAGAAGAAGACCGACUCCGAAGCGGCAAGCACAAGCCGAGUCAGUCGGAAAAAGGAAACACCAGUCGGAAACAGAAGUGGAAGGCUGAACCGGCAGCUCCUGGAGAGGCUCUAGCCGUGACUCAAGGAAAGUUUAAGGGGAAACCAAAAGGAUCCUGGAACCCCAAGAAGGUAAAGGAUAAAGAAGGGAACAGGGAAGAAGAAGGAAAAGCUCUCAAAGUUCAGCGCUCAGUGUAUUAUUUGUCUGAAGUCUUGACUCCAUCCAAGCAGAGAUAUCCUCAUUAUCAGAAGCUUGUGUAUGGAAUAUACAUGACCACAAAGAAGGUUGCUCAUUAUUUCUCUGACCAUUCCAUCACAGUCGUCAGCGACGCUCCACUAUCAGAGAUUUUGCACAACAGAGAUGCAACUGGUCGAUUGGCCAAAUGGGCGAUUGAACUUCUUCCCCUUGAUAUCAAGUUUGAGGCAAAGAAAGCCAUUAAGUCCCAGGCGAUAGCAGAUUUCCUCGCCGAGUGGAUUGAACAACAGCAGCCGACUGAAGUUCACUCGGAGCAUUGGACCAUGUUUUUCGAUGGCUCUAAGAUGUUGAAUGGUUCCGGUGCGGGGGUUGUCCUGGUUUCCCCCAGAGGAGAUAAGCUCAGAUAUGUGCUCCAGAUUCACUUUGAUUCCUCCAACAAUGAGGCAGAAUAUGAGGCCCUCCUAUAUGGGUUGCGCAUGGCCAUUUCACUCGGCGUCCGUCGCCUAAUGGUCUAUGGCGACUCUGAUUUAGUGGUCAAUCAGGUGAUGAAAGAGUGGGACGUGAGAAGCCCAGCCAUGACUGGAUACUGCAGUGCAGUGAGGAAGCUGGAGAAGAAGUUCGAGGGGUUGGAGCUCCAUCAUAUACCCCGACUGAAAAAUCAAGCAGCUGAUGAUCUAGCAAAGAUAGGUUCCAAGAGAGAAGCCAUUCCGAGUGGUGUGUUCUUGGAGCAUAUACACACUCCGUCAGUCAAAGAAGAUCCUUUCACCGAAGAAACUCCGCAGCCCAAGAGCGCCACAGAUCCGACUGAAGUUGAAGUCCCAGCGGUGGUCGACUUGAUCAUGGAGGUUUUGGUGGUCAUUCCCGACUGGACGAUUUCGUAUGUCGCAUAUAUCUUGAGGAAAGAGCUUCCGGAGGAUGAGGAAGAGGCUCGACAGAUCGUCCGUCGAUCUAAGGCCUUUACCGUAAUCAAAGGACAAUUAUACAGAGAAAGCGCGACUGGAGUCGGUCAGAAGUGCAUAACACCAGAAGAAGGUCGACUCAUCCUCAAUGAUAUUCACUCGGGGACCUGUGGUCAUCAUGCGUCCUCUCGGACCAUCGUGGCCAAAGCAUACCGAGCCGGAUUUUACUGGCCCAAGGCGAAUGAGAUGGCAAAGGAGAUAGUGGAUAAGUGCGAGGGAUGUCAGUUCUACUCGAAUAUGUCGCACAAGCCUGCGUCAGCUUUGAAGACCAUCCCACUCGUCUGGCCUUUUGCAGUUUGGGGGCUGGACAUGAUCGGUCCUUUGAGAACAGGACGAAGUGGCUUCACGCAUGUACUGGUGGCAGUCGACAAGUUCACCAAGUGGAUCGAGGCUAAACCAAUCAAGAGCCUUGACACCGGUACUGCUGUUAGCUUCAUCAGGGAACUAAUAUUCAGAUAUGGAGUCCCGCACAGCAUCAUUACGGAUAAUGGGUCGAACUUUGACUCAGAGGAAUUCAGAGCUUUCUGCGACUCCCAGGGCACACGGGUCGACUACGCAUCAGUCGCCCAUCCGCAGUCGAAUGGACAAGCAGAGCGAGCUAAUGGACUGAUUCUCAAGGGACUGAAGCCUCGACUGAUGCGUGAUCUCAAACACGUGGCUGGAGCUUGGGUCGACGAACUUCCAUCUGUACUCUGGGGACUGCGGACCACGCCUAAUCGGUCGACCGGAAGAACUCCAUUCUUCUUGGUCUAUGGAGCUGAAGCAGUCUUGCCGAGUGAUCUUCUCCACAAUGCUCCUCGAGUUGAAAUCUACAACGAAGCAGAAGCUGAACAAGCGCGGCAGGACGCAGUCGACCUUUUAGAGGAAGAAAGGGAGAUGGCUCUGAUCCGAUCGACCAUCUACCAACAAGUUCUGCGCCGUUUCCACGCCUGAAAUGUGAGAGGUCGAGCCUUCCAGGAAGGGGAUUUGGUUCUCCGAGUGGAUCAGCACAAACCACACAAGCUUGCUCCUUCUUGGGAAGGCCCCUUCAUCGUCACCAAGGUUCUCCACAACGGGGCGUACCGUCUUUACAACGUCGAACAUAAUAUCGACGAGCCCCGAGCUUGGAACGCGGAGCUACUCCGCCCAUUUUACACUUAAGUUUUGUCACUCGGAUGAGUGGCAAUAAAGUACUUUUGUAGUUCAUGGACCUCAAAAUAAUAGUGUCAUAGUUCCUCCACAAUAUCUGUCACUUUUUAUUUUUAUUUUCCAAUAAAAUUCCCCUCAGUGGGUGACUUAGUUGCGAAUCCGUUUCGCCUAAGUUUGUAAAAAUCCUACCGAGUGGUGAGCCAGACUCCCACUCAGAGGCUUAGCUGCGAAUCCGUUUCGCCUAAGUUAUCAAAAUCCUACCGAGUGAAGAGCAAUCCUCUCACUCGGGGGCUUAGCUGCAGCCAUGUGCUCGUCUAAGUUAUCAAAAUCCUACCGAGUGGUAAGCCAGCCUUCCACUCGGAGGCUUAGCUACAGCCUCGUGCUCGCCUAAGUUAUAAAAAUCCUACCGAGUGAAGAGCAACCCUCUCACUCGGAGGCUUAGCUGCAGCCUCGUGCUCGCCUAAGUUAUCAAAAUCCUGCCGAGUGAAGAGCAAUCCUCUCACUCGGGGGCUUAGCUGCAGCCCUGUGCUCGCCUAAGUUACAAAAAUCCUACCGAGUGAAGAGCAACCCUCUCACUCGGGGGCUUAGCUGCAGUCCAAGCACUCGCCUAAGUUGUGAAAAUCCUACCGAGUGAAGAGCAAUCCUCUCACUCGGAGGCUUAGCUGCAGCCUCGUGCUCGCCUAAGUUAUCAAAAUCCUACCGAGUGGUAAGCCAGCCUUCCACUCGGAGGCUUAGCUGCAGCCUCGUGCUCGCCUAAGUUAUAAAAAUCCUACCGAGUGAAGAGCAACCCUCUCACUCGGGGGCUUAGCUGCAGUCCAAGCACUCGCCUAAGUUGUGAAAAUCCUACCGAGUGAAGAGCAACCCUCUCACUCGGGGGCUUAGCUGCAGCCCUGUGCUCGCCUAAGUUACAAAAAUCCUGCCAAGUGGAGAGCAACCCUCUCAUUCGGAGGGCUUAGCUGCAGCCCAGUGCUCGUCUAAGUGGACUAAAGAAUAAGUCGAUUGCAGCACAGGCACCUUGCUUUGAACCUGCAAAAGACAUUCCGAGCCGAAGGCAAUCGUAUUCAAGCACCAAAUCCAAGUUUGAAUCGACAUCUAAAGGAACCGAAAGUGCUCAGGCGUCAAGCCUGUUAAGGUUUGUCGGUUAGAAUUUCACUCGGCAUACCGAGGCAAAUUUAAAGCGUCGAGCCAGAAGAAGUUUUUUACCCCUCCUGUGGAGGGCUGGAAGGUGCGACAAAUUCAUCAAGGUCAAUCCCGUCGGCGAUCCGAGUGGCAGUUGCAAGGAAAGUUUCCAUAAAGGAUCUGAAGUCGUGCUUCUUGGUAUUGGCCACCCGAAGGGCCGCCAGCUUCUCUUCUCGCGCAUCUUUGCAGUGGACUCGGGCCAGACACAGAGCGACAUCUGCACCACACCGAGCCGAGGACUUCUUCCACUCCUGCACUCGACCAGGGAUCGUGUUCAAGCGGGCCAUCAGCGACUCAAGGUCAUUCUGAAGUGUCUCCUCAGGCCAGAGCGUCGAGUCGAUGCGAGAUGUGGCGGCCUUCAGCCUUGCGAGAUAGUCCACGACAGCUGCAACACGAGACUCCAGUCGGAAAACAUCCAUGGCAACUUCGUCGUUCACCGGAGAAUUGACGGGGUCAAGGUUUGGCUCCAGUCGGCUGGUUUCUUCUUCAAAGUUUUGACAAAAUUCUGCAAGGGUGAUCACUAAGUCAAGGAGAUAGUCGAAUGGAAAAAGCCACAAUUGGAAAUAUUUACCAAACAUGGAGGUCUACCUUCAAGCAUAAGGAACAACUUCUUGGCAAGGCCACUCAGGAAGGCCUCCAGUUCAGUUUUCUUCUCAGUCAAUUUGCUGACUUGGUCGGUCAGGGCAGCUUUGUCAGUUUUCAGUCGACUGACCUCCUUGUUGGCAAUCCCAAGAGCAGCUUUCAGAUUGGUAUUGUCUUGUUCGAGCUUGGUGACUGAAGCUAACUUCUCGUCAGCAAGCUUGAUCUUCUCAGCUAGCUCAAGGUCUUUCUUCUGCUGGGCCUCCCUUACCUUACCUGCAAGUUACAGCAAGAUCAGAUGCUGAAACAAGCAAGGGGAAAAGCAGUCGUCAGGGUCUCACCAAACAUACCUUCGGUCUCCUCCUUUGCCUUUGUCAGCUUCUCCUGAACCAGCUUCAAGCUCAGCUCGACUUGAGUAUGUUUUUGUUCCAGCUCUGAGUAGCGAGCCACAAGAUCACAGGAGUUCUAUGAAGAACCAAUCGACUAAAUGUCAAAUAUAAUUCACUUCCGAGUGAAAAAGGGAUAAACACACGUUUCUAAGACUACAGCCAAAUACAAGCAUUCGACCGUAGUCUCGGGGACUACACCCAGUGGGUGCACUCAGCGUGCCCCCACUAAUCCUGUUGAAGACAAAGUCGACCAGUCGACCUCAAAAAAAAAGAGAGAUGCAUUCUCUAAGACUGUGAUCAACUGCAAGCAGUCGACCACAGUCUCGGGGACUACACCCAGUGGGUGCACUCAGCGUGCCCCCACCGGUUUGUGAAAUCCAGUCGACAUAGUCGACUGAAAGAAAAAUUGACGUCAUAAAGCCUAAAGCCGACUGCCAGCAGUCGACCUUAGCCUUGGGGACUACACCCAGUGGGUGCACUCAGCGUGCCCCCACCGGUUUGUGAAGUCCAGUCGACCAGUCGACUGACAGAAAGAUUGACAUCAUAAAGCCUAAGGCCGACUGCCAGCAGUCGACCUUAGCCUUGGGGACUACACCCAGCGGGUGCACUCAGUGUGCCCCCGCUAACACGGAGUUUAUUUGACACACCCAGUGGGUGACUAAUAUAAAUUCCGGAAAAGAAAAGUUUUUGGUAGCAUAUCCAACAGAACAAACAGCGGUCGACUGACCUGGACAUUGCUUUGGAGGGCAGAACUGGCGUCAUAAGCUGCCUGGCUCGCGUCCCGGAUGGUCUUCAGCUGCUCCAUCAUGAGUCCCGCCUGGCGUAUUGCCUCCUUCGCUGCGCCAGCUUGGUCCUCUGGGACGUGGUGCGUCGUAAAGAGGGAGGGCUGCUGAGCACUCGUCAGUGGAUUUGCGAAGGACACCGUGUGUCGAGUGGUGUUCCCUUCCUCCACAGUCAGAAUCUCAGGCGCCGUCACAUCCUGAGGUACCUUACUGGCGGACGCUUUCCGACUCCUCCUGCGUGUCAGUGGUUCUUCAUCCUCGUCGUCGUCAGGGAGAUUGAUAACAGUGUUGGGUGGAGCUGCGGAGAAGGAUCAGGAUCAGAGAUCGCGAGUCAGUCGACUAAGAACGGUGUUAAGAACACAGUACCUGGAUUCGAAGUUGCUGCAUCCUCCAUCUCGUGGUCAUCAGCCCGGGCCGAGGUCUCAGAAGUAGCAGCACUGCAACUCCAAAGGAUCAGUCGACUAACUUCAGCGUCGACCAGAGAUAAAGUUCGCACAGAAUAAGAAAAUAUGAGCAGCACAAUUACCCUGAUAUGGUGGGGAUGGACACCUUCAUCUUCGGCAGGAGCUUGGUCGGCUUUGGCGGAGCCCCCCUAGGCUGCUUCGGCGCCUUUCCAGUCGGCGCGGGAGAAGUGGUCCUAGGGCGCUUGGUCGACUGCGUCGCAACCCCCUUGCCACGUUCAGUCGAAGGGUCGUGGACGAGCUUCGACCGCCUUUCCGAGCGCGGUGGCACGACCUCCUCCUCUUCCUCCUCGUCUUCGGCGUCAUCAUCAUCGCCGUCGUCAUCAUCGUCGUCGUCGUCGUCCCCUGCAAUGUCCGAGUCCCAUUCCUCCUCGUCCUGGCUCUCGCCCCCACUCGCCUCACCCUCCUCAGUCGGAGUUUGUGCCCCAUUGGGCAUCGAGUACAGCUCGGUGAGGGCCUAGCAGAUAUCAAGACAAUGAUCAGUCGACCAGUCGGCAGAGUAAACAGAGAUGAAUGCGACAAGAAUGCAGUGGAGAGCAGGGCAAGUGUACCUUAUUUGGAUCACUGUUGUGGUCGAGUGGAGGAAUCCUUCUGGCUCCGCGUGGGUUGUCCUUGUUUCCGGUGACGGCUACCAUCCAUCUUUCCAGAGUGACAUCGUCGACUGCUUCUGGAUGGACUCUAGUCUCGUCUUCGGUCCCACAGUACAACCACAUGCAGUGGCUCCGGAACUGGAGAGGCUGGAUGCGACGCCUGAGGAAAACCUCCAGGAGGUCCAUGCCCGUCACUCCCUCCCGAACCAAUUGCACCACGCGCUCCAUCAACAUCUUCACGUCAGCUUUCUCCUCCGGAAUCAGCUUCAGAGGGGAAGGCUUGCUCACUCGGUCCAUGGUGAACGGAGGGAGUCCACUCGACUGCCCUGGCGUCGACUGGACCUGGCAGUAGAACCAAGUCGACUGCCAGCCUCUGACGGACUCGGGAAAGGUCAUGGGCGGGAAGGUGCUCUUAUUCCUCACCUGAAUCCCCAGGCCUCCGCACAUUUGGACGACUCGGGUUCUCUCAUCACCUGGGCUCGCCUUCUUCAUGGUCUGAGAUCGACACGUGAAUAUAUGUUUGAACAAACCCCAGUGCGGUCGACAGCCCAAGAAACCCUCACACAUGGACACGAACGCGGCAAGAUAGGCAAUGGAGUUUGGGGUAAAGUGGUGGAGCUGCGCUCCGAAGAAGUUCAAAAAGCCACGAAAGAAAACACUCGGUGGCAAGGAAAACCCGCGAUCAACAUGGGUGGCCAAAAGCACACACUCACCCUCUUCUGGCUGGGGCUGCCACUCCUUCCCCGGAAGCCUCGCAGCUCCGUGGGGGAUCAAGCCCUCGUUGGCCAUGUCGAGGAGGUCAUUCUCCGUGAUGGUCGACUGGAUCCAGUCUCCUUGGACCCAGCCCUUCGGCAGGCGGGAUCUGGACGAGGACCCUCCGCGGCUGGUGGAUCUUCCUUUCGCCUUCUCCGAUGCCGACGCCUUCUUUGCGCGCUCCAGCGCCGCCGUCUUCUCCUUGGCCAUGGUCGCCAGCGAGAUGCGCAAAGGGAAGUGGUGCGGGGGCGAGAGGGAGCAUGCUGAGCAGGGAGGAAGGAAGCAGAGAGAGGGGAAGAAUGCUAAGGCGCAGCACAGAAAUCCUCGCCGGGCACAUUUAUAAGGUCCCUUCCAAGUGGAUGAUAGGUGGGCCCGGGCGAUCUAAUCAUAUCUGGAACAGUUAUGCAGGCAGGAUACGUGGCGAAAAAGGCGGCGCGGAGAUCGAGGCGUCCAUGCCCCGUCCCAUCCGAACGCCGCGGUCCGCCCCGCUUCGCGCGCGCCCCAAAAUUUCGCAUCCCGCGGAAUCCGCGAGCAACAAAUCAGUCUGUCAGGCACGGUGUUUCCGGCGAUCCGUCGCUCGGAGAUCGUCGAAGCCUGAAAGAUCACUCGACGCAAAAACAGAAUGGAUCAAGUUGACUGAAGGCAAUUUGUUUCCUGUCGACAAAGGGAUUCUCCUUCUUCACUCGAAGCCUCGAUCCAUUCGGGGGCUAAUGAUGGAGUUGUGUACCUAGGGUAGGAUCAUGGACCUGAUCCAAGUAACUUACCCUAGGACAUCCUUAGAAGAGGUCGCCUUCCAGUCGACCAACGAGGAUUCACUCGACUGGCCUGAAGGACUCGACCACGAAGACUCACUCGACCACCAGGAGGUCAAGAGGCACUCUGCACUGCAACGGCCUGUAAUCAAGUAGACUUUAUGAUAGUAAAGGCACUUUAUGUGGGGCGUUACCAGUAACGCCCCAGACUUAACUCACCUUAAACCCUCUCCUGCGUGGGCUGGCUAGGGUCCUGGCGCACUCUAUAUAAGCCACCCUCCUCCACAGGCAGAAGGGUUCGGCACCUUGUAAUUCAUACAUUCAUAAUCCACUCGACCGCCUCCGGGCUCCGAGACGUAGGGCUGUUACUUCUUCCGAGAAGGGCCUGAACUCGUACAUCCUUUGUGCUUACAACCUCUCCAUAGCUAGGACCUUGCCUCUCCAUACCUACCCCCCACUCUACUGUCAGGCUUAGAACCACGACACUCUCCACUUGGUAGGUUUUUUAGAAACUUAGGCGAGCGCUGGGCUGUAGCUAAGCCCCCGAGUGGGAUGUUUGCUCUCCACUCGGUAGGUUUUUUACAAACUUAGGCGAGCGCUGGGCUGCAGCUAAGCCUCCGAGUGGAAGGCUGGCUUACCACUCGGUAGGAUCUUGUUUUACUUAGGCGAGUACUUGGACUGCAGCUAAGCCUCCGAGUGGAAGGCUGGCUUACCACUCGGUAGGAUCUUGUUUUACUUAGGCGAGUACUUGGACUGCAGCUAAGCCUCUGAGUGGAAGACUGGCUUACCACUCGGUAGGAUUUUGUUUUACUUAGGCGAGUACUUGGACUGCAGCUAAGCCUCCGAGUGGAAGACUGGCUUACCACUCGGUAGGAUUUUGUUUUACUUAGGCGAGUACUUGGACUGCAGCUAAGCCUCCGAGUGGAAGACUGGCUUAUCACUCAGUAGGAUUUUCGAAAACUUAGGCGAAACAGAUUCGCAACUAAGCCUCCUAGUGGAAGGCUGGCUUACCACUCGACAUGAUUUUUUACAAGCUUAGGCGAAACGGGUUCACAGCUAAGCCACCCACUGGGGGACAGAUUUAUGAAAGCAAAAGCAAUAACAAUCUCUAGGAAAAUUAUGAAACUCUUGUCUUUGAUGAAUACACUAUAAGAGUACUUUUAUUACAACUCAUCCGAAUGGAAAACUUAAGUGUAGAAAGGGCGGAGUAAGUCCGCGUUCCAUGCUCUGGGCUUGUCGAUCUGGUGCUCGACAUUGUAAAGGCGGUAGGCCCCAUUAUGAAGAACCUUGGUGACGAUGAAGGGACCUUCCCAAGUAGGAGCAAGCUUGUGUGGUUUCUGUUGAUCCACUCGGAGGACUAAAUAUCCCUCUUGGAAAGCUCGACUCUUCACAUUUCUGGCAUGGAAGCGACGCAAGUCUUGCUGGUAAAUGGUCGAUCGGAUCAAGGCCAUCUCUCUUUCUUCUUCUAGAAGAUCGACUGCGUCCUGUCGGGCCUGCUCUGCUUCAGCUUCGGUGUAAAGUUCGACUCGGGGCGCGUUGUGAAGCAGGUCACUCGGCAAGACUGCUUCAGCUCCGUAGACCAAGAAGAACGGAGUCCUCCCAGUCGACCGAUUUGGCGUGGUCCUUAACCCCCAAAGCACCGACGGAAAUUCGUCGACCCAUGCACCAGCUGCGUGUUUGAGGUCGCACAUCAGUCGGGGUUUCAGUCCUUUGAGAAUUAAGCCAUUUGCUCAUUCUGCUUGUCCAUUCGACUGUGGGUGAGCGACUGAAGCGUAGUCGACUCGCGUACCCUAAGAUGCGCAGAAGGCUUUGAACUCUUCGGAGUCGAAGUUUGACCCAUUGCCCGUGAUGAUACUGUGGGGAACUCCAUAUUUGAACACCUACUCCCUGAUGAAGCUGACGGUGGUGCCGGCGUCCAAAUUCUUGAUGGGUUUAGCCUCCAUCCACUUAGUGAACUUGUCGACUGCUACCAAUACAUGGGUGUAGCUGUUUCUGCCUGUCCUUAGAGGUCCAACCAUAUCCAGUCCCCACACAGCAAAAGGCUAGACGAGUGGAAUGCUCUUCAAGGCUGAGGCGGGUUUGUGUGACAUAUUGGAGUAAAAUUGACAUCAUUCGCACUUGUCGACUAUCUCUUUCGCCAUCUCAUUUGCUCUGGGCCAAUAGAAACCAGCUCGGUAUGCUUUAGCCAUGAUGGUCUGAGAAGACGCAUGAUGGCCGCAGGUCCCCGAGUGGAUGUCGUUGAGAAUCAUUCGACCUUCUUCUGGUGUUAUGCAUUUCUGGCUGACUCCAGUUGCACUUUCCCUGUAUAACUGUCCCCUCAUGACGGUGAAGGCUUUGGAUCGGCGGACGAUCUCCCGAGCCUCUUCUUCAUUCUCAGGGAGCUCUUUUCUCAGAAUAUAGGCGAUAUAGGGCACUGUCCAAUCGGGAGUGAUGACCAGAACUUCCAUGACCAAGUCGACCACAGCUGGGACCUCGACUUCAGUCGAAUCUGUGGCGCUCUUUGGCUGCGGGGCUUCCUUGGUGAAAGGAUCUUCUUGAACCGACGGCGUGUGAACAUGCUCCAAGAACACGUCACUCGGAAUAGCUUCCCUCUUGGAACCUAUCUUGGCCAAGUCAUCGGCUGCUUGAUUUUUCAGUCGGGGAACGUGAUGGGGCUCUAAUCCCUCAAAUCUCUUCUCCAGCUUUCUGACUGCAUUGCAGUAUCCAGUCAUGGCUGGGCUUCUGACGUCCCACUCCUUCAUCACUUGAUUGACCACUAAGUCCGAGUCGCUGUAGACCAUGAGGCGAUGGACGCCGAGUGAAAUGGCCAUACGCAACCCGUACAAGAGUGCUUCGUAUUCUGCUUCAUUGUUGGAGGAAUCAAAGUGAAUCUGGAGUACAUAUCUGAGCUUAUCUCCUCGGGGGGAAACCAAGACCACCCCGGCACCGGUACCAUUCAGCAUUUUGGAGCCAUCGAAGAACAUAGUCCAAUGCUUCGAGUGAACUUGGGUCGAUAACUGCUGUUCAGUCCACUCGGCGAGGAAAUCUGCUAUUGCUUGAUACUUGAUAACUUUCUUUGCCUCAAAUCUGAUAUCAAGGGGAAGAAGUUCAAUCGCCCAUUUUGCCACUCGACCGGUUGCGUCUCUGUUGUGCAGAAUCUCUGAUAAGGGGGUGUCGGUGACGACUGUGAUAAUAUGGUGAGAGAAGUUGUGGGCAACUUUCUUCGUGGUCAUGUAAAUCCCAUAUACAAGCUUCUGAUGAUGAGGGUAUCGUUGCUUGGACGGGGUCAGGACUUCGGAAAUGUAAUACAAUGGGCGCUGAAAUUUGAAGGCUUUUCCUUCCUCUUUCCGCUCGACCGUAAGUACAGUACUAACGACUUGUCCUGUGGCUGCAAUGUAAAGCAGCAAAGGCUCUUUGCUAAUUGGGGCAGCAAGCACCGGCUGGGUGGAAAGCAGGGUUUUUAACUCUGCAAACGCUGCAUCAGCUUCUCGAGUCCACUCGAACUUGUCUGACUUCUUCAUCAGUCGGUAAAGAGGCAAUGCCUUUUCACCGAGGCAAGAGAUGAAUCGACUUAAUGCGGCCAAGCAUCCAGUAAGUUUCUGGACAUCGUGCACAUGCACAGGGCGUUUCAUUCGGAGUAUAGUGCCAACUUUUUUCUGGGUUAGCGUCGAUUCCCCGUUCGGAAAUGAGAAAACCGAGUAACUUUCCGCCAGGGACUCCGAAUGUGCAUUUUGAUGGAUUAAGCUUGAUAUCGUACCUCCUGAGGUUGGCAAAUGUUUCAGCUAGGUCAAUCAGCAGGUCGGAACCUUUCCGUGACUUGACCACAAUGUCAUCCAUGUACGCUUCCACAUUCCGACUGAUUUGAGUGAACAAACACUUCUGAAUCAUCCUCAUGAACAUGGCUCCGGCAUUCUUGAGGCCGAAUGGCAUGGUGACAUAACUAAAGCACCCGCAUGGGGUGAUGAAAGCCGUUUUGAUCUCAUCGGGUCCAAACAGACGGAUCUGAUGGUACCCGGAAUAAGCGUCCAAGAAAGAAAGUCGCUCACAUCCCGCAGUCGAGUCGACUAUUUGGUCAAUGCGGGGAAGAGGAAAAUGAUCUUUCGGGCAGGCCCGAUUGAUAUGCUUGAAAUCGAUGCACAUGCGAAGAGAAUUGUCCUUUUUGGGGACCAUGACGACAUUGGCGAGCCACUCGGAGUGGUAAAUCUCUCGGAUAAACUCUGCUGCUAGGAGCCGAGCCACUUCUUUGUCAAUGGCCUUCCUUUUCUGGACGGCGGACCGUCGCAGAUGUUCCUUCACAGGUUUUUCCUUCGAGUCGACUCGUAGACGAUGCUCAGCCAGUCCCCUGGGUACACCCGGCAUGUCAGAAGGUUUCCAUUCGAAGAUGUCCCAGUUCUCACGGAGGAACUGGAUGAGCGCUUCUUCCUAUUUGGGGUCGAGUGUUGUGGAGAUAUGAGUCGGAGCAGCGUUUGGGUCGGUCGGGUGGAUGUGAAUGGGUUUUGUCUCACCGGACGACUGAAACACUGAUUCCGUGGCAGGCUUCUUGGCUCGCAACAAAUAACUCGGGUCUGCGUUCCUUUGGUGUUCCUGCCACUCUUCUGCCACCAUCUGAGCAUCGGCGCUCUUCGAGCCCUUUUGGAAGCACUCUUCUGCCUUCUUGCGGUUACCAAUGACAGUGAUCACGCCUUUAGGGCCUGGCAUAUUUAGUUUGAGGUACAUGUAACAAGGUCGAGCCAUAAAACGUGCAUAUGCUGGUCUGCCCAAAAUUGCAUGAUAGGCACUCUGGAAAUCCACAACCUCAAAUGUCAGCUUCUCUUUGCGGAAAUUCUUUGAAUCGCCAAAAACUACAUCAAGAGCAAUCUGACCGAGUGACGCGGCCUUCUUGCCAGGAAUGACUCCAUAAAAACUCAUAUUUCUCGUGCUCAGUCUGGACAUCAGAAUGCCCAACCCUUUCAGUGUCUCAGCAUACAGUAUAUUCAAACUGCUGCCGCCAUCCAUCAACACUUUGGUCAGUCGAGUGCCCUCAACGACCGGGUCGACCAUAAGCGCUUGCCUCCCAGGGGUGGCUAUGUGCGUGGGGUGAUCAGAUUGGUCGAACGUAAUGGCAGUCUGAGACCACUUCAGGUAAUUGGGUGUUGAUGGAGCAGCCAUGUUCACCUCUCGGUUUAUAACUUUCAGUCGGUUUUUGCUCUCAACAUCGGCAAAAAUCAUCAAGGUGGAAUUGACCUGCGGGUAUUCUCCGUCACUAUCCUCCUUGUCCUCAACUUUGUCCGACUCUUUUUCUUUGUCCUUGGACUGCUUCCCCUGGAACUGCUGUAUCAGGAGUCGACAUUGUCGAGUGGUAUGCUUCGGGUAGAUGAAAUUACCCUCUUCAUCCUUCUUAGUGUGGAUGUGACAUGGCAAAUCCAACACAUCAUUUCCUUCCUUAUCUUUUACCUUCUCGGGGUUCCAAGGCCCCUUGGGUUUCGCUUUGAAUUUUCCUUGGUUUAGGGCAAAGGCUUCUCCAGGUGCGGCUGGCUCAGCUUUACGCUUUUGCUUCCGACUGGAGUUUCCACCUCCGGUGUCCUGGGCGACUGACUUGUGUUUACCGCUCCGGAGCUGAUCCUCUUGCUCACCAUUGGCGUAUUUGGUGGCUAUUUCCAUCAUUCGACCCCAGAGAACCAGGCUUUGAUGCAAGAUCCAUCAUCGUUCAAGGUCUGGUUGACCGGAACAGAGCCCAUAGAGAGGGUAAUGAUAGAGAUGUACCCACCAGCAGCCGAGUGCACGUCUCCGGACCAGAGUGUUUCAGCAGAGCCAUCAGGGAAUUCUUCGCCCGCCACUGUACUGGCGUCUGUCGUCCUACUGUCGAGGCAUAUAGGAUCCACCCUUCCGGGGAGGAAUGGGCACUCGACGUCGAUCGUUGCGAUCGACUCGGUGAUCAUCCUGCUCAUAGUUCCUGUACUGAUCGUGUUAGUCACCGUGCCCUUCACGCCUCGGGGGCGAUCUGGGGCUAUGAGCUGACUGGACAGUAUUCGCCGCCACGGACCUGCUAUGAAUCCUGUUCCGCGACUGCGACACAGCUGAAUUCUGAUCUCCCGGAGCAAAUCCCUGAUCUGCAUCAAGCCUCUGCCAGCCUCUGACUGGGAAGGCUGAAUCGACUCUGCUAUACGUGUUGCAGCUGCCAAAUUCUGGAUUGGAGUGCGGUAUACCUGAGUCGGAGGUUUAAAGAGUUGGCGUCGACUGGAGUCUGGAAUCCGUUGCCGCGCGCGCUCCUCGAGUGCCCGCUGAAGGUUCUCCAGUCGAGUGCGCUCAGCCAGGUUGGCCAAGCGCGCGUCCUCUAAGGCGCGAGCCUCAGGGGUUUCUCCAACGAUCGGAGUAUGAAGCGCAUCCAUGUUCCGGCAGCGAAGCUCUUCCCUCUGCUGUGAGUCGAGGGGCUCAGGGCGGUACUCCUCAUGGUCGUGCGACGGGUCGCCUCCGCCGUUGCCUCCCUCGGUCCCAGGAAAGCCGGGGGGGACGUGUAGUCCAUUAACCAUCAGGACCUCCGCCGCCGGAUCACUGCUAUCGCAUUUGGAUGCAGUGUCUGCGGAGCCAGUCGACAGGUCGAACAGGCCGUAGAGAGAGUCGUCGGGCUCGAUUGCCGCGACUUGGGCAGUGGUCGACUGGCGAGCCACUGCGUGCCUCAUCCACCGCUGAAGCCUCGACCGACCGGAGCGCUUACGCCGGCGGGAAGCUGGGAGGGAGGAUGACACGAAAACCGGCCGAUACUGAGUCGACGGUUGCCGCAGAAGGACACCGCGGACGCAUGCUUGAAAAUGCGUAGCUCCGCGGACCGGGAGCACAUCCACGUCGAGCGGGGCCUCCUGCAGCCAGGCAGAGUCGUCGGCGACGAAUGUGAGCGCACCGAGACGGAUAUCGCGGCCCUCAACCAAAACUCCACCUGAAACCAUGAUGAUGGGAAUUGAAAAGAUUGCAACUUCUCCAACAAGUCGCUAAGACACCGGCUCCACGGUGGGCGCCAACUGUCGUGGUUCUAAGUCUGACAGUAUAAUGGGGGGUAGGUAUGGGGAGGCAAGAUCCUAGCUACUGGAGCAGUUGUACACACAGGUGUUUUACGAGUUCAGGCCCUUCUCAGAAGAAGUAACAGCCCUACGUCUCGGAGCCCGAAGGCGGUCGACUGGAUUAUGUGUGUGAUAGUUACAAGGGUGCGAACCCUUCUAUCAGUGGAGGGGGUUGGCUUAUAUAGAGGACGCCAAGGCCCCAGCCAGCACAUGUAGCAGAGGGUUAAAGUACAUUAAGGUCCGGCGUUACUGGUAACGCCCUACAUGAAGUGCCAUCAUGACCAUUAAGACUACUUAAUUAUAGACCGUUUGGAUACAGAGUAGAUCCUGAACUCUUGAUGGUCGAGUGAGUCUUCAUGGUCGAGAGUCUUCAGGUUCGUCGAGUGUCUUCUAGCCGGUCAAGUGGAAUCCCUCUUGGUCGACUGGAAGACGGCUUCUUCUAAGAGAUGCCCUUGGGGAGGGUACCUUGGACAGGUCCGUAACCCUACCCUAGGUACAUGACUUCAUCACUUAUCCCCGUUAAGCUGCGCUUAAGCGGCCAUUGCUCUAAGCUGUGGCCUUCCGCUCCGCUUACUAACCGCUUUCUUGAACAUUGAAAAUUUAAUUAGAUCAUCAAAUCUCAUAUACCUAAAUUUUCUUACUAAAAAUAAACUAGUUCUAUUAAUUCAACUAGUUCAACUAAGCACUUACUAUAAAUAAAAAUAAUUAAUUUUCUUACUAAUUCAACUAAGAACAGUAAUAAAAUUUUAACUAGUUGGGAGGGAGGAGGGGGCGGGCCGNNNNNNNNNNNNNNNNNNNNNNNNNNNNNNNNNNNNNNNNNNNNNNNNNNNNNNNNNNNNNNNNNNNNNNNNNNNNNNNNNNNNNNNNNNNNNNNNNNNNNNNNNNNNNNNNNNNNNNNNNNNNNNNNNNNNNNNNNNNNNNNNNNNNNNNNNNNNNNNNNNNNNNNNNNNNNNNNNNNNNNNNNNNNNNNNNNNNNNNNNNNNNNNNNNNNNNNNNNNNNNNNNNNNNNNNNNNNNNNNNNNNNNNNNNNNNNNNNNNNNNNNNNNNNNNNNNNNNNNNNNNNNNNNNNNNNNNNNNNNNNNNNNNNNNNNNNNNNNNNNNNNNNNNNNNNNNNNNNNNNNNNNNNNNNNNNNNNNNNNNNNNNNNNNNNNNNNNNNNNAGUCAUCACCCAUGGUUGCAGAUAUAAUAAAACUACAUCUAACUCCUGCAUGCAUGAGCGAGUGCACAGAUCUCACCAUUAUCAAAUGGAUUGCUAUUUGCUGCGGGUGUGAGCAAAAAUUCCCCUGUUCUCAAAGAGGUGUCUGAGACAUUAAUCACUCAAAGAUUCUGCUGCUAAAAAUAUAGUGAUCGAUCGGUCUCGUGAGCUGCUGCUGGAGAAAAGAAGAGUCGCAAUCCAUUCCUCAACUAAAGCUAUCGUGAAUAGGGCACAGUCUCCAAACAGCUGGAAUCUUCACACGCCCAUCAUGAACACCCAAAGAUAGACAAGCACUGUAUGCAGGCGCCAUUGCUUCAUCCAUCCAUCCGUAAUUCCGUAUACAGACAGCACAUCACACAACACCUGUCAAAGGUGAGAAUGUCCCCUUGAAAACAAGUACUAGUAAGUUUCCUCUACACGUUUUGCCCGUGAUCCCAGAAACAUUAGCGUGAAUACGUUGUUUCUGACCAUAUCUGGGUCGUUUUAUCAUGCAUCACGUACCACACCAGACAUGGGUCGGCUAGGGGAGGGAAUUAAUAUAUACAUGUCCGUUGCUUUCUCUCGUUGCUAAUUAUGUGUAAUGUUUCUGUGCUUAUCGGUAUUUAGUUCAAUGUCGCCCCAUGGCACAUUGAAAAAGAAUAGUUGCUACCACCCGCUUGUCUUGUGUGUAAUGCAGACCUAUGGAAAUUGAGGAGGAAUAUGAGCUACUCAUAAAAGCACGUAUUUUGGACUGUAAGAUUAGACAGGGGGUUGCAAUCUUAAAAGCACGUAUUUUUUUCCGUUCAUAGACAUCUCUCAUACUUUAUUUGCAUGUCUUUUAUGUAUGCAUCAUGUUAUAACUUAUAACACACACCUGCAUCUUCAAACCUCGCUGUGAUAAUCACAUUAACCAAUUUCUUUGGACAUUUUCAAAUGCAGACAACAGCCAUUCCGUCAACUAUAUGCUUCUAAACGCAAAAGUGCAGCUGGGGGCUUGAGCAAUCCUAGCAUAUGUAAGCAUAGACUCGUAUUGGUUGCCACCCCCGCCCAGCAGGCUCAUGGGGGGACGAGCGAGGUUGACAUGCUUGCUCUGCCCAGCGCCGGCCCUAGAGGAUGAACCAAUAAUCAGUUGUUGGCACUCCUUCACAAAAUUGAUAAACAUACAUGAGAGUCUUGCAAAAUUGUUGGUCUCAUGAGAGUCUCGCAGCUUUAGCGUGAGAAGAAGAGUGCCACAGUGCGGUGCAAAAUGUUAAAGAACAUGAUUGUAACACGACCUUAAUUAAUAUGGAAAGAGGGUUUUGAGAGGGACUAAAGAUACACGAGAGAUUGAAGUUGUGAAGAUUGACCUGCUAAUAAUCCUCAUGAUAAGUAGUUUAUUUAUAUCUUGAACAUAGGUUACAACGAUGCCGUAAAGAUUAAUGACUAUAUAGUUUUGUUUUCUGAUUAAUAUGACAGUCUCAACAUGUAACUCCAACAGUAAAGAACAAGAUAUAUGCUACUCUUUUUAAUUUUAGUGAACAAAUAUUUCAGUCUGGUGGGAGUGUGGAUAGGAGGUUGGCACUGCCGCCACUAUGUUAAGUGAAGAAUGUUUGCGGCAUUCCUUAUCACAUUCUUCAGGCGUGGGAUAGCAAUAGUAUUUGGGAUCCACGAAACAACACCAAAAUAGCCGUCAUUGCAUUUUGUUUUAGGUGGUCCACACAAUCCAUAUGGUAGACUGAUCUUCCUGUUACCGAUGUCUUCGAUACUCCCAC
Molecule: long non-coding RNA, 53981 nt
Filed under: Triticum aestivum (bread wheat)
Lineage: Eukaryota; Viridiplantae; Streptophyta; Magnoliopsida; Poales; Poaceae
Description: long non-coding RNA (TAES_LNC017058)
Source: RNAcentral